RNAcentral lists this long non-coding RNA (63676 nucleotides) under Cucumis sativus (cucumber). RNAcentral describes it as "long non-coding RNA (CSAT_LNC002216)". Lineage: Eukaryota; Viridiplantae; Streptophyta; Magnoliopsida; Cucurbitales; Cucurbitaceae. The record is from RNAcentral.
UUGAAAUGUAGAUGACUGUUUUUAGAUAAGGACCAAAAUUACAAAUAAACAAACCUCAAGGUAAAAACAGAGAAUUAUGAAAUUCUCUCCCGUGAGGAAAGUUAUAUAUUACAUUCAAAUUACUCAAGAAAUAAAUCAAUAAAAAAUGUGAUAUAGAUAACACAACUGUGAAGAAACAAAAUACAUGUUUUAUUAUGACUUUGCACAUAUCCUGACCAAUUAGGCCACCUUUUUCCAACCCUUUGGCCUUCGUGGGGAUUCUGUAAGACCCGUAGUUAGGGGAAUAGUAAAAUUAAUAUGGUUAUUAGUUGGGGCACAUUAGUAAAUAUUUAGUAUGUUAGUUAGGUAUUUUUGCUAUAAAUAGUGGGAGGGGUGGUGAGGAAUGUUAUGGGAUUUCCUUGUAAGGGAAUUUGGGAGAGUCUAGCCCUCUUGAAACGCUAGGGUUUACUUUGUUAUUCGUUCUUGUGAUUUAGCAUAUAUUUCAAUAUAUUUUUCGUAUUUGAUUGUUCUUGAGCUGUUUGUGUGUUCAUGAGUAUCUCGUGUUAGGUUGGGUUCCUAAAAGAUUCCUAAUCUUUUCCUCUUCUGUUUGGUAUUUUAUCAAUAUAAAGCCAAAGUUUCUUAUUAGUUGAAAAGAAACACAAGGACUCGCUUUGACUAAAUAUGAAAACUGAAUAUUUCCCAUUUUGCUUCAUAAUGAUUCUAAAUUCAGAAUCUUUGACUUGAGUCAAGUAGUUUUCCUGUUAAAUCUUUAUUUUAAUAUACAAGAAAUUGAGUUUUGUUUUGUGAAAACUAAUUUGGAAAGCUGCCUAAAAAUGCAUAAUCUUCCAUUGGUCUCUGUAUUGGAAGUGCUACCACUAAUGAAAGUUGACUCCUAACUUAAUUUCUAUUUGUUGAACUCCUGGUUCGGACGAAAGAAGUUUGGAGUGCACCUGAUUUCAACACUUCCCUCCUCAACUGGACCUCUUUCCCCAUCUUAUCAGCAGCCCUUGCCAAAGUUUACAUUUGUGAUGUCUGGCAUUUAUUCCUUUUGGAGACUUCAAAUUUUGGUUUUGCCAGCCUUUGUCUGAUUGGGAAUCUAACAAUGCAACCUUAAAUCCUCAAUCCUUUCGGCUCCAUUCUAAGAACUUCAACAAUCAUUUAUUUCUUAUUCUAUAUGAUGUAACACCCCUGUAAUUUUGCUUCUUUUUGGUUUCUUUUCUUUUUAAAAGUUCUCUUUAUUCGUGACUGUUAGGUGGACCAACUUGCAUGUCUGAUCCAACUAAAUGUUAAACUUUUAGAAUAUUAAUUCUCAAGCAGGUGCUACCAUUGCUUGAACCUAUUCUCACAAGUUUUUCUUAUUUGCAUAGUUGUUACCUUGCUGACAACCUAUAUGGUGGUUUUCUGAGAUAUUUUUUAUUCGAUGGCUCAUUUUGGCUGGGAUUUUUCCUUUUUAUUUUUUGUGUGUUCUUUAAUUUCUUCCCCAAAAAUAGUCUGUCCUCUUUAUGGAAGAAAAACUAAGGCCUAAGUAUUUUCGGUGCAAGAUGAGAGUUUUUCCCCUUCCAUAAAACAUUAUUUUGUCAAGCCUUUAUUGUUUACCUAACUCUUAUUAAGAGCUAGGUUAACCCACGGUGGUUUUUUGAGAUACUAUUAUUUGUGGGCUGAUAUUAGCUUGAACUUCUCCUUUUUAUUUCUCAUGUAUUCUCCUAUUUGUUCUAAAUAAAAUUAGUUUCUUUGUGAAAUGGCUAUACCCAAAGUAAACUUUUGGCGUCAGAUGAGAUUCUUUCUUCCAUGUAUAUAUAUUAAUAAACAUAAAUUUCAUUAUCAUACUGUCAUAUAGAAUUAUAUGACCAACACAAAUAAAAAACAUGAUGAAACCAACUGCUAACUAGCAAGAUCAACCCCACUCCACAAAUGUACUAUUGGAUUUAAAUUAAUUAAUAUCAACGAGAAAGUUGGAUGGGUAAAACAAUUCAUCUCCCUCAAUAAGUGCACUAGUGGGAAGACAGAAGUAGAAGGCAACCUGGUAACAGCACCCAUAGAACGGCCCCAUAGGCCAAUCAGAGAGACAUUUCCAUCUGCCCGCAAAUAUUCAACGACGGCUUUCAAAUCAUCCUUCUGAAAGAGUUUCAACAAGUUCGACAUUAUAUACUGAAGGAAUGAAAAUGUCAAUAUGCAUCAAACACCCUAAUCAGCAAGCAAGAGACCUACAAGAUGCAGUCAUUUACUCUAGUCUUCACUUUUCAGUGAUAAAAGAUCACAGAAGACAUGCAGAUAAUAAAAUGUUUAGGUUUUAAACAUAGCAGGAUUCUGAUUAUCUAAUACAUGCCAUGUGGUAUAAAAAUGAUUUUUUGCCAUUUACGAAGAAUGUAUACAGUACAUUGUGAGUCUACGUAAUAACCUCCAACAGAACGAACUAUCCCAAGAAGCUAGAGAGAUACUUUGACGCAAGAAAAAAGGGAUAUCCUAGACACUUACUUCAUUCCACCCCAAAGUGACAUGCUCACCCCCAGAAAGUCCAGAACCAGAAAAAUCAAGAGCAAACACGGUGAUGUUAGAAGGCAGUAAUAUUAUGGCAGCCUCACUAGCAUCUGCUCGACACCCACUGUUUCAAAACAAAUAAAAACCAAUCAGAAUAAUCCAGUGAUUUAAAAGUAUUCUUAACAAAGAGGAUUCAUAUAAUGAGAUGGGUUUCUAGCGGGAACCCUGCAGAAAUAAAGGCUUAAAUUGAAUUUCCAAGAUUAAAUCUGAUGAGUAUGCAAUCUGUUAUAUUACUUUCCAGGGAAGCCCUUAUUCAGAUGUGUAACUGGGUAUAAACUUUCAUGUCUAGUUAGGUAUAAAUUUAUACAACUCACCUGUUGCCAUGACAGUAAAUUACACAGGGUAGAGGCUUUCCCUCAGGACUAACAAUAGGCAAGUAAUGACUACACUGAAGUACAUCUCCCCGACUGUUUUUAACCUGCAAUAAUGUUAAGAAGAAGAAGAAUAUAAGAUCUGAAUCCCCUAAGUCAGAUAACAGGUCUUGGUUCAGCUUAUAUUUUGAAUUACAGGAACUAGAGAAUGGGAUAGAAAACAAAACCAAGUUGCCUACUUCUAGAAUAAUUGAAAAUGACAAGAGGAUGCCCUCUCAAAGAAAUCAAAGAAUUUACCCAUCCAAGUGUCAAACACGAAAAGUUACCGCUACAAGUUAGGACACCGUUUCUCUAAAGUUGGUCCAAGUAUUGCCAGCAUUAAGAGGGGAAGACCAAUUACCUUCAAAUGAACAAAUAAGUCUGGAGAAAUUCCGCAUACCUCUUGUUACUAUUACUGAGUGCGAGACUUCGUCCAAGAGUAUCCAAUGAUUUUAAGGUUGCCUCCAAAGACUUCCCAAGAAUUCUUACACAAUUUUCCUUUUUGUUUGAGAAUAUCCACUUUCAUUGAGAAUAUAAUAAAAGAAUGCAAGGGCACCCAAAACAAAAGCCCACAAAAAAGGAGCGCCCUAGACAAAAAGGACUUCGAUUAUGCAAAUAACACCUACAAAACAGCUAUAAAAAAGCUUUGAAUUUGAAACCCACAAAGAAACUUGAUAACGAACAAGGGAACAAAUCUUGCUAGAGACCCUCUCCACACCUCUAAAAACCCUAUUGUUCCACUCGUUCUACACCACCCAAAAGAUAGCACACACCCCCACAGGCCAAAAAAAGUGACCCUUCUGCCCACGGGGUGGGUUGAGAAGAGACUCCUCAAGCAACACUCUAACAUCUCUAAGUCGAGCAACGACAGUGUCAAAUGUCUGAAACAACCGAUCUCAAACCAAGCUGACAAACUCACUAUCCUAGGAAUCUUAAUGCUCCAAAGCACAAAAAAAUAGACAUUCCUAGGAGAGAAUGAUCAACCAAAUUACACAAAAACCCCUCCAAAGGAUCAGGGUUCCAAAUCCUCACAUGUCUUCUCCCACUUCUAAAAGAGAGACCCUCAAGUAAAGAAAGAAGAGCAAAAUUCUCACACACAACUUGUAACCUUUUGAGCUCAAGCCAAAAAUCCUUUCUCCACUUUUAAGUGCUAUCACACACACUGCGAUGAAAUUUAUUGCUAAUACAUUCGAUAAUAUUUUCCUGUGUGCAUGAUUGCGGUCGAAGAUUUUGCAGAAAGCAAAGCUUUCCAUUGGGCAAUGUCAUGAAGGCCUUUAUACUCGAAAAUAGUGAUAGAAAAGAGUUUUUAAAUCGUUAGUGGUAAGGGGCAUGCUUAGGAAGAAGACUUCGAAUUGGCUAAGUUUCAAAGUUCCUUGUGCUGUUCACUUCAUAGUUCUUUAAAAUUAUACUCCUUUUGUUAUUAAGUCCAAUUUAAGAGACUUUCCUAAAUUCAUUUUUAGACGAGGAUUCAGAGAGAUACAAUGGGGGAGGGAAGUGUAGAAUUCAUUCCAUCACAGUCUGGAAAUUCUCUUUCUUUUUCUAUUUCUUUCUUCUGUACUGCCUCUUUGUAACUGUUCACUGUAUCACAGUACGUUUGUGUCCUUUUCCUUUUCAACGAAAGAACGUCCCUUUAAUAAUGAAGAACCAAGUUCCUCUUAAAAGGAAACCAUCUUUGAGUUGACAAAAGAAGAAACAAUCACUCCCUUGCUAGAAUUAGAACAUCCCUUCAUCCUCCACGGCCAUCAAGUAUACUGAUAUCAGCACAAAUUCCUUUGCUAUGUGAAAGAAUCACAACCCUCGCAACAAACUCAUUGGUUCUUAAAUUAAAAAAUAAAAUAAAAUAAAAAGAAGAAGAAGAAGGAUGAGGAGGAGGUCCCCUAAAGCCCCAGUGGUUCGAUUCAGUAAGACCAAAUAAUUAAAGAUGGAAAGCAAACUAUCUGUGUGAAAUUUAGACAACCUGCCUGUUCUACUUCUAAAUCCCAAUAUGACCCUUAGUUCCAAAUUUCUUUUGUCUGUGUGGAAAUUGAUUUGAUGGGUACAACCAUCCUCACACAGGGAGAGGGAGAGCAACUCACUCAGUGAGAAUUCCAGAAUUCUCAAACGUCCCAGACGGUUAAAAGAACUACAAAAACUCCACCUCUUAACAUGAAUCACCCAUUAUCUUUUCGUAACUGACAGCCAUAGAGAAGCUAUACAGUGAACUUAUUUAAAGUGUCAAAAACGCAUAUUACCAAAUAUUUAACCACACAACAUAGACAAAUCAAAUCAAUGAAGAAAUCCAAGCAAUGAGAAAGUUGACAACAGAGUCACUUUAUGAUAUGAAAUCGUACCUCCAGAUCCUUCCUUUGAUACAAUUUUCCUCUUAGCGUGAACUCAUCUUCUAGUAAAUCAUUGUUUGGGUCGUAUUCAGCUCUGUGAGUGAAUUAAACAAAGUUGAAGUCACUUUUAAUUACCAACUUUAGUUUAAUGAAAUGAAUAAAACAGAACCGCAGCAUAUAUUGUAAAGAAUUUCAUAUGAUUAAGCAAUAAUUAUAGAGCACAGUACUAAUCGAAAUAAUGAACGGAUCCGCAUUUCAAUACCAUUAAAUCGCAUAGAUCUCAUUCAAGUCGGGAAUACCCAAAAAGGAAAAAAAAAAAUGAAAACUACACACCAGGUGUAACAGACCGUUAACAAAAACGAAAGGCAAAACAAUAUUUAGAUCUCAACCUACAAGCCACCUCCAUUCCCUCAAUGGAAACCCAUGUAGAAUUUGAAUUUCAAGAACCUUUGUACCAAGAUUAGCAAAAAGAUUAACAAAAUAACUUUAAUUUCUCCAAAAACAGAGCAAAAGCAAAAUAAAAUACUUGAUAUCAUAACUCCAAACACCCAUCACUCUCUAACCUUUCACAACAAAAAAAAAAAAAAAAAACGAACUCACGCACCAAAUUCCAACUCAAAUACUAGUAAUUCAACAGGAAAAGAGAAAGAAAAAUCUAAAAAUGAUCAAAAACUUUACCUGGGAGGACGAAUGAUGAAGUUGAUCAGUUGCUCCAUCAGAUUCAAAGAAACAAAAACGAAGCAACCGAUCUAUAUCGGUAACAGAAACUGAUUAUGGGUUUCCAAGAAAGAAUAAGGAGUAAAAUAAUAAGAAUUCACCAAUCAAGAAGAGGAAAUCAAAGAGAAAGGUAUGGGAAUAACCAAAAAAAAGGAUUAUUCGGUGAAAGGAAUGAGAAUGAAGAAGAAGAAUAGAAGGUGGGUUUGUUUGUUUAUUAAGUUGCGUUUUUUGUAUAUACUUUUGUUCGUGUAUUGGGCUUUCGAUUUUCGAAGCCGCCUUUCUACAUCCGAUGUCUAUCUGUCUCCGUUCCCGUCUCCGUUUCUCCGACCUUCCUGCACCUGACCACACGCGCCUUACUUAGCGCGUGCAUGUGUCUUCUUCGCAGAUAUCCUCUCUCUCGCGACGUCUUGUGUUUGGGCCUGUAGUGCCUACUUUGGUGGUCUUAACUGGGCCUUGGCCCAAUGGUGCUCGUAAUUAUUAGAGCUUAUAGAAAACUGGAUUACAAAUUUAAAAAAUAUCAAGAUUUACAGCAAAUCUGGGGGUUGUAGACUUCUCUUUUUUACCGAUUAUACCGUUUUGUAUACAACCAUUCUUUUCCGUCAAAUAUAAUAUAUUUGUAUAGCUAAAAAAUGAUACAAUAUAUUUAUAAAAACCGUCCAUUUUGGAAACUUUAUAAGAUUACCUCGACAUUUGAUAGAUUUAUGUCUCCCAUUUAUAUAUAAGAAUUUUAGGUUUCAAAUCAAUUAAAUAACAAUUUAUUUCUAUAAUUCAUAUUAUAUAAUAACGAUUAUUUGAAUUUAAAUUUUUGUAAAGAUUAGAUAGAGCCAUGACUAUUUGAAUUCAAAUUUUUGUUGUCAGUUAAUAUCUCUAAAGUAAUUGUUAAUAUAAUUUCAUCAUUCUACGUGUGAUAAAGUUCAUUUUAAUAUUUAUUAAUAUUUUAUUAUAUAAUACAUAAUACGUAUUUUUAUAUUUUUAAUAACAAUUUGAAGUUAUAUUUUAUAACAUCUAAUAAAAUCAUCCAUAUGAAUUAUUUUAAACGAUCAUUUCCUAAAAUAUUGAUAAACAUAAAUUUAAUAUUUUUUAAUUAUUUAUAUUUCAAAAUUUUUAUAAAAAAUUGAAUUUAAAUAUCUCAAAAAUACCCGAAUUUCACUUUUUUAUAUUUUCAGCCGAUUUUACAUCUACACAGGAAAAUUCUUAUAUGAUAGGUACUAUGACUGAUACAAUGUAUUUGCAAAUAAUUCGGUUAUGUAAAACUAUUAAACAUUUAUUUUUUUCAGGAUGGAUCUGAUUGAAUCAACAUUUCCUAGAUUUAUGUCUGCAAUUUAUACUCUAUUUUCGUGUUUGUAGAUUUCAAAUCAAGUAAUUAACAAUUUAUUUAGUUAUGGUUGCUAAAAUUUAAAUUGUGUUUUACUUCUAUAAUUAUAAUUAUGAUGCAUUUAAUGUAUAUAUAAUUAUUCUAUGAAAUUUUUAUAUUUUUUCUAUAAUCGUGGUAGUUGAUUGAUUUUCUUAAACUUUUCAUAUUUCUAAUAAUAAUUUAUUUAACAUAAUAAUAAAUUAAAAUUAAAAUCGUAUCUUACCGAUAGAAUUGUGAUGCAUUUAAUAUAAUUAUUCUAAAAAAAUUGAUAUCUUCUAUAAUCGUGCUAUUUGAUUGAUUUUCGAGGUAAAACAUAAUUUCAAAAUUUUAGGAUUAUUUUGUUAUUAUCCCUUAUCUAUUUUUCACAAUUGUUUUCGAAAAAAAUAUUUUUAAUUUUGAUUUGAAAGUGUCAAAAUAUUAAAAUUGCUUUAAAAUUUUAUAAAAAUAGGUAUUAUUAAUAAUAAUUUCAAUUUAAAAUUUUAUCCCUGAAAUCGUGCUAAGACUAUCCACUUAUGUUAUUAAAAAGUUUAUCGAAGUGUUAUUUGCUUCAUAUCUCAAAAUAAUGGCAAACAUAAAUUUAACAUUUUCGAAUUAUUUAUAUUUCAAAAUUUAUAAAAAAUGAAUAUUUUAUUUUUUGAAUGAAUUAAUCGAGAAUAAAAUAUUUUAUUUAAAUUAGAAAAGAAAAAAUGAAAAGGAAGAUAUUUAAGGGAAAAAAAUAAUAUGAUAAUAUUUAUUAUCAUUAAUAAUAUUAUUAUUACUAUUCAUCAUCUUCUUCACAUUCAUCAAACCCUAGUCGCCGACGACACCUCCACUCUGUCCGAGUGUUAUCCGUUCCGAGAUAUCCACCUUUGUAGCCAUCCCCUCCAUUUUGUUGACUGAGAACUAAGCCGUAAAGAAACGUCUCCUCCGCUGCAUGUUGCUAGUCGCAUUUUUACUUCAUUUGAAGUCGAACACCUUUGAGCCACUUGUUCCUUCGUGCAUUGCACGCCCAAUCGCAUCGGUCUCCUUCAUCCUUCAUCGCCAUUUGUUCACUGGUUCUGCCAAAACUUCCAACCACCGUUGGUCGUCGGAUUUCAGUGACUUCGUGAUUGGGUUUUGUUGUACUUUUUCUUAAUUACCCCUUGAAGUUAAGAAAGUCAUUUGAUAUGCACUAAAUGUACAAAAACUUUGAAGGUUUUAAAGAGAAUUAAGCUUGAAGCUCCAAUAUUUUCUACAACUAGUCGAAGACUUUGAAGAUUUGGUGAAAUCUAGGAAAGUGAAAGAUAGUGAAGCUGAAUUAUUUUCCGUUUUGAAUACCUAAACGUGUCCAAUUUCAACAAGAAUGUGUUAUUUAAUUACAAAGUAUUUGAGUUUAAUUUUUAGGUGAACAAUGGUAUUUAGGACUUUUUUUAAACUGGCUAGGGGCAUACGAGACAUUGUUUAAUUUAUUUAUUUUUUAGAUUUUUAAAUUUUGCUAUUCUAACCACUUAAAAAUAAAUUUGUUACUUUUGAAAAGUAAAAGUCAUAAUUCGUUUUUCUUAUUGACAGUCAUAAUUAUUAAAUGGGUUUUACAUGAGUUUUAGAAGCGUUCUUUUGUUUUCGAGGGAACAUAAUAAUUUAAUCGUCAAUUAACCUCAACCUCUUUCAACUUUUAUAAGCCUAUCAACGUAAAUGUUUAAAUUUUAUGAUUAUAUCAAUUUAAACUUUUCGAUUAUUAGAGAUAAACAAAUGUGAAGACAAACUCUUAAUUUGUUUUUUAUUUGGAAGUCGAGAAUUUACAUUUAUAAAAGUUCAAAGUUUAAAUUAACACAUUAAUAAAAGUUGAGGAUCUAACUUGACGUAACUAUUAGUUUAUGGUUUAACUUUAGUCAACCUUAAACGUCAAGGUUUAAAUUGGUAUAAUUAUUAGUUUAGAGUUUAAAUUGUUACGAUCCAAAAUUUAAGAUUUAAAUAGGGCCAAAAUUAAAUCCGAUAAGAAUUGAUUGUUUAGUUGGUUUAAUGGUAGUUAAUCAUGACCUAACAUAGCCAUAAACUUGAAUGCAUGUCCUUUCCUUGGUGGAUGAAUACAUCUUAGUGGUUAAUAGAUAUAUAUGAUUUAAUUAUGAUAAAAUAAUUAAUGUAUGAUUGACCACGUCUAAUGUCGAAUUUUUACUUAAGUAAGUCAUGUGAUUGAAGUAGAUCGAGUUACAUCCUUAGAACUUUUACUUUGUUUUCAAAUGGUUAUUGACCCUUCAUUUUCCACACGAGCAACUACCUUUUCCUUAGCUCAUUUUGGUUGCUUUUAAAGAAGUGAAGUUUGAGAAAAGAGUCACUAUGCUUCCAUCUGAAUUAAUUUAGUAUUGCAAUUUGCCACUUGUAUUACUUAAUAAUAUAGAUAGUCUUGAUCUUUUAAUUUGAUCAUUACAAACGAUAACAAAAUGGUAGUUAAUAUUCAAUAAAUUAAAUAUAUGAAACUUCAUUCAUAGAGACCUUGAAGACGUCGAAAGAAUGUAAUAGCAAAUGAUUACGCGUUAGAUUAAAUAGAGUUUUACUUAGUGAAAAAAGUGUAGGGGUGGAAUUGCAACUAUUCCUUUUUAAGAUUAAAAGUUGUUUUAGACAAUUGCCAUAAAUUUGAAGAACUUAUAAGGUAUGUUGAAAAUCAAUUCAUAGUUCGACUAUGUGUUAUAGUUGAACCGAUGCACAACCCUUGUAUUGCUUUUCACGAGACGGAAAGAACCGAACCAACCCGGUCGGCUUAUUUCGGAAUUUCCAAUUUUGCGUCGACAAGGAGAGAGAGAGAGAAGAAGACGACACGUCGACGAAUUAGAUCGAGACGAUCCGUCGUCUUAUCGACGUUCAAAGGAGAAAUUCCACAGAAUCGCCGGAAAACGGAUUCCCGCCAUAUCCAGAAGACACUCCGACGGCACCGAACAGACUAAAGUCCCAAAGAGAGAGCACAGCCUCUUCUUCAUCGAUUCGUUCUCCAUGAGCUGUCCGUACAGUUAUUUUCAAACACUCGCCUAUUCUCUUCCGUCCCCCGUUCACAUUCCCAAAUCCCUAGUUUCCCCAAUUCUCACCUCAAUUUCACCCCUAAGUUCCGGCAAAGUUGGAGCACCUGUUUACUGGACAAUCGUCCUUAAGCCAGUGGUAAAGAGAAGUUUGGGAGUUAGAGCUUCGAAGAGUGAUGAUACUGGAACUGAGAAGUGGCUGAAAUGGAUACCCAAUGGAGCUUUAGCCGCCGAUAAAAUUUUGCGCUCGAUAGCCGGUGCAACCGCCAGCCCAAUCAGCCAGUUCAUUUCGUCGCCAGUCACAUUUCUUCAUUCCGUAGACCCGCGAAUUAAAUUGGUAAAUAAAAAUCUGUCUGGACAUUUCUUGAUCUGUUUAUCUCUCUCAGCAGCAUGUCAUUGUUGAAAACUUGCUUCUUAGGUUUCUCUUACAAUCUUGCUGUUAUUUUGAUAAGUAAUUUGUGGUUUCUGGAUGGAAAAAUGUUGGAUGGCUGUUGGGUGUAAAGCGUCACAAGCUAGGUCACUUGUCCAAUCGUUUUAUUUGUAAUGAAUUUAUCCUAUUGAAGUUUGUCCCAUAUUUUACUCAUUCACGAUUUGCAAAUUCUUCCACCGUGGCUUUUGUUGGUCUUCCAAGUUCCAACCGCUGGUUUUAUGAAUUCUGGUUGACUGCUUGUUUUUGUUUGACAGAUAUGGCUGUUGGCUCUUGUUGUUUUACCAGCUAGAUCAAAUAUCACUAUUCGAUUUGGACUGGUGAUUUUCUUGGCUUUUCUAUCCAUAUGGAUUCUUCCAACCGAGUUAUGGAAGGUAUACUUUGCUCAAAAGCCAAAUAUGAUCACUAUCUUUCUUUUAAUCAAUGGAACCUUGGGAUAUUGGCAAUGUCUAUGGUUAACAUUUCUAUAAUACUGGGGCUGUUUCCUUUUUUAAAAAAAAAAAACAUUUCUAUAGUACUGGAUUGAAUAAUGUGAUAAUUGUGGAGGGACUCUCUAACUUUUUAGGAUCAACUGGGAAGAGUGUCUAUACUCUCAGGCAUUUUGUUCGUCAUGCUGGGGCUGGGUGCAGACGGUGUGCCAUCCCUCAUCCAAUCAAGAACUCCUCCACCUGGAAUGAUGGGAUUGCCUGAGCUCCCUGCUUCUGUGGGAGGUUACUCGUAUUUAAUUGCAAAGCUUGGCCCUUUAACUUUUACUAGGAAAGGCUUGUCAAUAGCAAGUACAUCAGCAUGCUUGACAUUUGUUGUAAGUUGAUUCUUAUUUUUAUCAGCUGCAUGUUAUCUUUUCCCCUGUUCACAUUAUUUGAUAUGGGUAUUGAGAUGGGGAAAGGAGGUGCAAACAAGGUUGAAUUAAUUGGCUUUUAGUUGCCUGAAGGGAUCUCAACUCUUGGUUUGAUAUUUCUCGAAGGUCUUCCAAAGUGCAAGUCUCUGCCUCACAACCACAGCCCCAGAACAACUUGCAUUUGCGAUACGUUGGUUUAUGCUUCCUUUGGGGUAUUUUGGUGUUCCGGUUGCUGAAAUCACACUCACUCUUUUACUUUCUUUGAGAUUCGUUAGUCUCGUGUUUGAUGAGGUAGAGAUCAAUAAAUUAUUGACAAAAGUAUUUCUGAUGAUUGAUAAAUCUUUGUGAGGAUUGUUAGUGGUAUUAUUAUUUUAAUGUUUUUGGCAUUUACAAAAGGAAUCAUGUGUUGUCAGGUUCGAAAUGUUGCGUUAGGAAUUGUAUCCCGCAGGAUAAACUGGCAAAUGUUGACCACAAUGGAGACAGUUGAUGGUAAGCAUUCAGUGUCAUCGCCAACAUGUAUUCGUCCAAACUUUUUAAUUGAACACUUGUAUUGCGUGGGGAAACUCGUGUCAUGGUUUGUAGACUUAGAAAUGAUUAAUGUACACUUCAAUCAGCACAUCACUGUGAUUCUACACUGAAUUUUAUUUCUAUUAAUCAUGUAGAUUCUCCCGAGGAACUUCUGGUUCUGGGGCAUCAUUUUCCCUCUUCAAAUUUACCCUGCAAUUCCUUCAUGAUUUGAAGCAUUUCAUUAUAGAAAGUAUUGAGCACUAGUUCAAUGAUCUUCAAUGUUAGUUUUGAUGCUAAUAUGUUGCACAUUUCAUCCAAAAGUAUUAUUGUUUAUUUUUAUUAUAUCAUAAAUGUUUAUUUUGGUUAAACCUGCAGUUUUCUUUACUUAUCUCCGUCGCAUCUUCAAAAAUAUUUUUAGCCAUGCGGAGCAGAUUUCUCAGGUAACCUAUCCACUGCCUAUUAUUGUGCACGCCUUCAAUUACAGAGUGCUUUGUCUGUUCUUUCGCUGUGUUUCAAAGUGUUAAGUAUUUCUAAUCAUUAAUUUUAUUUUAGGACCUUGUUACAUACUGACUAUCAAGAUACCCCAGGAUCCUUAGUAAGGUCUUGGUUCAUACCCCAGGUUAAAAACUUGAUAAUUGAAAGUCUUUGUUGUCUUUUAAAGCUAGCUUUGGAUUGGUCAAAGGCUCGGUGAACUAGUAGAGUGAGCAUGAGCAUAGUGCAAGUAGUGGACUCCCAGUCCCCGCCCUUGGCUAUUGAAAGGAAUAAAAAAGAGAGUAGAAAUUGACUAUCAAGAUUGCCUUGGUAAAAGUUAUACUUUAACAUGUGAUACGAUAAGGUUGCAAAAUGGACAAGUACACUUAGAGAAUGAAUACAGUUUUGUCACUGACGUUAUACCUCUCAAUUCUAUGUUUAUUUUACAGUUAACUUCCAAAUGUUGGUACUUUGUUCAUUUAUGAGUUGAUCGAUUGCUUAAAGUUGUCUUUGAAAAAAAAAAUCCAUAUCAAUUACCUGACCUGAGUGUAGAGAUGCCUUGGGCUAUUGUGAUGAGCAACUUAGUGAUAGAUCUUCAUUUGUGGCUCGUGCUAUUUCAAAGUAAUAACCUCAUAAGAACAACCCCAAUGGCUAGUUUGCUACUAUGCCUUUCAACUGAUAUUUAAAACUUUGUGUUGAGUAUACAUUUUUUGUUUUUGUCGGUUUAUGUCUGUUUAUGCUGAUCAAAAUUUGACUCAAUGUCUUACGCACACUGCAGGCAAUGAUUGUUAGAGGUUUUCGAGGAGAUAGCAGCAGUCAUAAGCUAUAUUUCUUGUCAAAUUCAUCAAGCAGAAUGGCAAAUAUUCUCUCCCUGUUAUGCUUGAUUGGUGUCAUCAGUGCUUCUGUUUUCUUUGACAAAGUCAUCAUCUGAUACCUACUUCCAAUUUUUGCCAUCUUCUCUCCCUGCUAAAGCUGUUGCAAGUGAGUUUAUCUAAUGACACCCCUUAACUGGACUAGUAUAGUUGUUGCUUGGAAGCCUCUUGUUUGAAAGUCUAUUAACUUUUUUUAUACAGUACAUGGGCGAGGGCCCUAAGUUUUUCUUUUUGUCAUACCAGCUUAGAGGUCCCAGAAUGAGCUUAAUAUAAAAUUCUUAAUGUUUCUCGAGUUACACACACUAAAUAGGUUAAAUAUUAAACAUCCAACCUUAAGGAAAAGAGUAGCAGUUAAGUCUUAACUGUUGAUCGAUGUCGGUGAGUCGGUGACACAACCUAUAGUUGAAAGUUCACUAUUUUUAACAAUAUGCGGGACAUGUAUAUCUAUACAUACUACAUAGAGACAGGAGCAGUUAAGUCUCAAUAGUUGAUCUGUCAAUGAGUUGGUGACAAUCUAUAUUAAAAAUUUAAUAAUUUGACAAUAUAUAAGGUAAGGAAUCAGACCUUUGACAUCGAGAUUGAUAGUACAAAGUUCAUGCCAAUUAAGUUGUGUUCAUUUUGAUUUAUAGUACAAACUUUGAGCCUUUCUUUUAGUACAUGAAUUUGUAUAUUUUCAGUUACGAGUUUAGUUUAUUAAUCUCAGGUAUUGUACAAACACAGGUUCAUGAAACUUGCAUUAACAUUUACAUUUUACCAUACCAUGACAUGCACUAACUGAACUAUAAACUUAGGCUUCUCAACUUUAAACUUGUCUCUACGAUAAUCAAACUUUGAGAUCAUUUCUGAUUUCUGGUUGCUUGUUGGUUUAACAGGUGAAAAUAAAUACUUCAAACCAACCUAGAGAUCUAUAUUGCUCAUCCCAUAGAUUUUUCUUAGAUGGGACAUGAUGAAAACUUUCAUUGGGUGGAUUCAAAUGGUACAUGAUUUAUGUUGGUGAGGGAGUUCAGGAGGGUGUUCCUGUGUUCCCUUGAUUGUAUUACUUUGGAAGUAGUGAAACAUCUUUAUUGAUUCCUUAGAACUUAGGGAGGGAAAUAUCUCUCUUAUUGUAGGAAAAUUAAUAUGUUCGAUAUCUGUUUAUUUCAUUUUAGUUCGAAAUAACUACUUAAUUACAAAUUAUUUAGUGAGGCCCUGCUGCCUCAUAAUAACAAUCGAAAAAAGAAAUUAACAUUUAAAAGCCAAUUGUGUGUAAAUUUGAGGUAUUUCACUCUCUGUACAUCCACAUACCUAAAUGGGAACCGCUGAAGUGUGUUUCUUUUCCGUACAAUUGGGAGUAGAGGGUUUCAACUACAAACAUUGUGUUACUAACUAACACACCUCUAUGAUAUUUAAGCUAUGUUCAAUUGGCUUGUUAAGGUUGAUUUUAGCUUACGAUAAUUGUUGUACUGGUUCAUUUUUUUUUAAAAUUUUCUAUAGACAAACAACGGCUUGAAUUUGAAUUUGAAUUUGAAUUUUUUUAUGUUUUUAAGAUGUCAUUUUCGAAAAUUUAAUUUAAUUUUCAUGAAAAAAUGCAUGUACUCCUGAUAGUAUAAUAAAAUGAAUCAAAAUAUUUACAAAAUAUAACGGUCUAUAUGAACCUCGAUAAACCAAAAUAGAUUACUAUUUAUGUUUAGAUACAAAUAAUAAUUUAUAUUGACGAAUUUAGUAUAGGUCUAGGGGUUCAAGCGCUCUUCAACCAAUGAUCUUUAUAAUAUAUAUUACUGAAAUAAUACCAACAUAAGUGGUUAGUCUAGUGGUAAAACUGUAAACCAAUCUUUUGUCAACAAAAUCAUAUUUGUAAGUAUUUUCGUUCAAAAUAAUUUCCCUUCUUUUAACAGUGGUUUCUAUUCUUUUUCUUUGAAUUAAACUGAUAAAAUGAGAAUUAUGAAAAACACUGCAGAGAAAUGACUUAAGCUAACUUAGUUCCCAUUGGUAUUGUAAGUAACCAAGGCAAAGUCAUCCGGUGAAGUUUUCAAUGGUUUUGAAUAUUCAAAUUAGACCUUUCUUUGUUUCAAAAACGUUGCCAUCUUAUUAUAUGUCCAAUUCCUCAAAAUGAUUUUGUUAGUAACAAAAUAACAAAACUUUUCAAAUACUACGUGCCUCAAAUCUUAGAUAUAUGACAACUUCACGUUUGUGUGAGUAAAUAUGUCAGAUCAAGGAUGUAUGUCGACUUCUUAUUUAUAAAUGUGUGUUCUAAAUAUAUAAGUCAAAAUGAACGUUUUAAAAAUAUAUGGACUAAAACAAACCAAAACUAAAAAUAUACCGACCAAACCAAUAUUUCCAAAAUAAUAUUAAACAUAGAGAUAGUUUCUAUUAGAUAUACAUAUACGACAUAGGUUAUACAUCAUAUAUACGCAUGGAAGUAUACAAUUAAAAGAUAACAUGUUUCAUCAAGUUACCAAAAUGACUAUUGUUUAGUUCUCAAUAUUCUGCAAUGUACCUAAAUUUAAACGUGUACAAAGAAUUGUUUUAUAGUCUAAAUAUUUUGAUUUGUCGUACUUUUUAAAAUCUCAAUUUUAGAUGUAAUAUAUAUAAAAAAUAAUAAGAUUGGAUAACAAAGCAAAAUUAAUAAAAUUUAGUAAAAUUUUAGACGAGAUAGAUAUGGAUAAAAGUUGAAGAGAUCGAUAGAAACCAAGAAAGAAAUUAGUUUAAAUAGAAAGUUAGGUUAUUUGUUUAUAAACCCAAAAAAGAAAUCCUUAAAUUCCAAUAAUCAACUUUGAGUUGCGAGUGACGUCAACGGGCACAAAGCCACUAAUCUGACAGGACGGGACACCCUUUUAAACGUGCUACCAAAUCAAUCACCGUUAAGUUCUGUGAGAUGAUCCCCACUGUCGGAUCUACAAACCGACGCAAACUAUUUCCAAUCAUCCAACGACCAGAAGAGGGCUGUGAUACUCAUGGGUCACAGCUGCGUAACUUGAUCAAAUUUCAAAGGCAAUCGGGCUUCUUAUCGGUGGGGAUGGCCAAUCGAGCCGAGAUGAAAUUGUGAUUUUCAGAGAAAUUUUUCUCGGGAAACUCGGCAAGAAAAUUUUGGAGCAAGAACGAGAGAAAUGUUCGGGUACACGGGCGUCAGCAACAAGGGUGGAGAAGUAGACCUAGAAUCUGGAGAGACCUUGUACCCAGGUUUGAGCUAUGGCGAGAAUCAGCUCCGAUGGGGUUUCAUUCGUAAGGUCUAUGGAAUCCUCGCGGCGCAGAUCGUUCUCACCACCAUUGUCUCCUCCGUUACCGUUUUGUAUUCUCCGAUCAACGACCUUCUCCGGGGAAAUUCUGGCCUUCUUCUGUUCCUCUGCUUCUUACCCCUAAUUUGUAAGUUGGUCAUUGACUCAUUUCCAAAUCGUUGUCGAAAGGUCCUGGUUUAUCUAUUUGUUAAUCGGAUUCGUUUUGUUUUUAAGUUAACUGGGUGGAUUCAUUUUGUGAUUUCGUUGGAUCGGAAUUUGGGAUGUCGAUUGAGGAAUUAUGGUCACCGUUGUUGUUGUUGUCUUCUGAGAUCGACGUCCUUAUUUUUGGUAGAGGGUCAAUUUGAUGAUGGAAUGUUGUUGUUCGUGGAUUUUAGGAUUCUUUAAUUUGGUUAGAAGAAUUAUUUGUCGAUGCAAUCUAUGAUUACGUUAUUUUUAAGCAAGAAAAGCUGUUGGGGAUCCUGGCUUGUUCUCUGUGCAAUCUGGUUUCUGCGUUCGAGCAUGGAAAUGCUUUGAAAGUUCAGAAUGGUUGCCAAUGCAAGAGUACUUUUGGUGGAUUCGUUUUUGGGUUUUGUUAUUGUAUCAAGACCAAUAAUUCGUGAUUUACUUAACCAAAAGUCGGUUGGCGCAUUGCCUUCUUGAAUGGAGACGAAGCUCUAACAGAGGAACUUUUCUUUCUUUGAAAAUGUGAUGAACUUUUCCAUAUAUCAUUCUUGUUACUUGCUCUAUAUGGUUUUGCUUAGUACAAUGUCUAUCGAGAUCAAUUCCAAGAAGGGGAUGUUUGAUUGUUUCUACUUUGCAAUUCCCGUUUCAUUUUACUUUUCAUCCUUUGUUCUUGGUUCUCAACAAAUGGUAUUGCUGCCUGUAAUUCCUUGGUCUGUUUUUUUGUUCUUCAGUUUUUUGUCUUUCUUUUUCCAUCAAUUUUGAUGAUAUGAAUAAUUUCUUUUCUGAGUUGCAUUAUGGUUCAAUAUCAUUCACUAACUUCAAAUAUUUGCAGUACUAUGGCCCAUGUACAUUUACAGGCAGAAGCACCCUUUGAACCUUGUCUUCCUCGGAAUUUUUACUGCUACACUUAGCCUCACGGUUGGCGUCAGCUGUGCGAACACUGAUGGUAAGUAUUGGUAUAACCACAGUAAACUGUUUAGACAUGAUGAUCUGUAAUCGUGUUUUAGAGUGUGUUUGGCUGAUAUCAUUUCAAGUGUUUAAUUUUGAGGAUGAGUCAUUUUCCAAGAUUGAAGUGGUUGGAUUCAAAAUAGCUUUUAAAUAUAUUUUAAACACCUUUUCCAAAAGAGUUUAAAUAAAAAUGGUUUUCUUAAAACACUUUUUUCCAACCCCAAAACGCCCCUUAAUGACCGGUAUUGAAAUGUGCGAUUCUGUACUUGUACUUGCAGGCAGGAUUGUGCUAGAAGCACUAAUUUUGACCUCAGCAGUAGUUUCUUCCUUAACUGGUUACACCUUCUGGGCCUCAAAGAAGGGCAAGGACUUCAGCUAUCUUGGACCAUUUUUGUUUACUGCCCUAAUGAUUCUCCUCCUCACUAGCUUCAUUCAGGUUGUUUUCACUCCCCAUUUACUAUUUCAUAAUCCACCCUAGCCCUAGUGGCUCUAUUCUUAUAUUUAUCAUGAGCAUCUUGUGGUCUAUUUUUAAGUGUAUGCUUUGGUUUUGUAUUGUAGGCAUUCUUCCCUCUCGGUCCUACUUCCACUGCUGUUUACGGUGGAAUUGGUGCGAUAAUAUUCUCGGGGUACAUUAUAUACGAUACUGAUAAUCUGAUCAAGCGCUUUACAUAUGAUGACUACAUAUGGGCUGCAAUCACCCUAUAUCUGGAUAUCCUGAACUUGUUUCUCACCAUUUUGCGGAUGCUGAGACAGGGAGACAAUUAGGUGGACAAAGUUUCUCUCUACCUGAAUUCAGGCUCAAUCGUUCAGUUGCUUAUUAAAUAUAUAUGUGUGUGUUUAAAAAUAAUUUUCGGAAAAAAGUACAUAAUACUCUGAAGUAUUUUCGUGUUGUCUUCUAGUUUUUAUUGCUACUGAAUGAAGUUUGAUAUUUUAGUUCAAUUUGUGCACCUAAAUUGCCUUAUAUAACACAUGCUUUAUUUGUAAAUUCUUAAGCUGGAACUUUUGUUGAACUUGCAUGAAUUUUUUACUCAUGCUAUAUAAUUUAGUACCUUACAUGUUGGUUAAGAUUAACCUCAAUAAUCCAAUAAUCCUAUUAGGGUUGAAUUAAAAAAUUUUAGUUUUUUUUUUGUUGAUUUUAGAUUAGAAAUGUUUUUAUAUAUAAUUGAAGAAAAUGAGGUAAAAAAAAAAAGGUUGUUUGUUACUUAGAAAUGACAACUCAAUCCAUAUUUUAAUGGUUGGGUCAAUGAACCUGAAAAUACAUUUUACAGUGUUAUAUAAUUUAAUAUAUUACAACACAUUUUAACUAAAAAAAUGUAAAGUUUACUGUAUUACAUGUAUUUCUUGACAUUUUUAUCUUUAUUUAAUAUUAAUAGAAUUUUAUAUUUUAAAAUCUGAAGUCCAAUAUCUGAAUUACAUCACAAACAAUUUUUAUGUUUGGAAAAGUGAAUUUGAACGCAACUAAACUAAAUUGACAACGAACUUUUGAAAUACUUUAAAUUUAAAUUUUACAAAGUGUAGACACAAAUUUGAGGAGUUAAAGAUUUUAUUAAACAAAAAAUUCAAACUAAUAUCUAAUAAAUCAAUUAAAUUCAGCAUGCUCCAUUAUUAGAUACAGAAUCACAGUCAAUAAGUCACCAAUUAGUUUAAAAUCAACAAAAUACUUCUGAAAGUUGGAGGACUUAGAUUCACAGUUUAACAACCCCCCAAGAAAAAAAUGAAAAGCAUUUGUCAUAUAAGAAAGUUUGCUGAACAGUUGAUACUUUAAAGAUGAACACAAAAUGGCAUUUCUUAGUUGAAUAGUGCCUUUUCACGCAAUAUUAAUUACAGACACCCCUCAAUUUGCAACAAUGUUGUUUGACAGUACAUUUGGAUCAUGGAUGGAUGGAAAUGGCAUACGCUAAAAGCAGAAAUAUGUAUACAUUAAUAACUUGAACUUUGACAAUAAUCAAAUAUCUCAAUGCAUUUUAGAUGGAAACUCACUCAACAUAUAGCGUGGAAGAAACGAAUUAACGAUGCAUCCGUGCAACUCUCUCGAUUUCUUUGAUUAUCAACUCUUUUUCUUCUUCGAACUGUUCGUCCUCAGCACCUGUAAAAGCAAACAUAACAUUGCCAUUUUUAAGCUAAUAAGAAGGGAGCAUAGAAUGUGACAGCAAUGCUUUGCCACUUUUAAACUAUAACAACCUUUCCCAGGAGAAAGAUUGUGAAGCAAUUCCAGAAGCUUUUCGUGGUUUUUCGUCAGAAUAAGCUUGAUUUCGCGUGGCUUAUUAGGAUUUGCAACAAAAACCUGCAAAAGAAUUGGACAAACUUAUCCAAAAUAUAGGCAUGAUCACAUAUUGUCCAAUGAGACGGGGAAAUGGUGACCCAAAGAAUGUUAAGUAAGCAUGAUCCACAGACCAUCUCAAAUUAAAAAUUGAUUUUAACCAUGUAAACCAAUUGCCUUCUUGUUGUAAAUAUUUCUAUUUGCAGUUAACAUUACGGUCAUCAUCAAAUUGAAAGAAAUCAGACUGGUUCACAUCUAUUUGAAAAGGAGUUUCUGUUAGCAAGCGCUUAAAGUGCUCCAAAAUUUCUUAAUCCAAGUCUCCAGGAUGAACCUUCACUCAAUUCAAUCGAGAAGCAAUUGACUAUAUUAGACACUUGGUUGGCUAACUUUUUUUUGUGAGUAUGGCUUAUUUGGGAACAAUUAUAGGUCCUUGUUAAUUGUUCUCCACUUAUUCAUCUUUACAAAUUUUGAAUUUUCGUAAUACAUUUUAUGUACACACACACACAUACAUUUUAAAUGUUUAAAAUCUAAACGUCUAUUGAAGUUUGAUAUGGUUAAGGUCACUACUGUCAGGUUGAACCAUUUAAAGAGUGCUGCAGCCGGCAGGUUGCUAGACCAGCAUAAUGCAAAGAAAAGGCAAAUUCGAUGGUAAUAGAUUUUGAAUGAGUUAAGAAUACCGAACUCCAAUAAAAGCUGCAUACAAUACCUUGAAUAUGUGGAAAGCAGACAGUUGGAUGUUCUUGCUGGAAUCCUGCUUGAAAAAACCAAGAAUAUGAAAAAGGCUUGAACAUCCAUGGUAAAUAAUAUUUGCACCAAAUGUUUGACAAAUUGAAUAAACACUAAAAGCAUUCUACCAAUCAUUACCUUUAAUAGAGUCAUCAUUACUUUCAAGUUCCGAAUUUCUAGAAUGUAACGCUUCAUUAUUUGGGAAUUCGGAGAUUCCAAUAAAAAUUCUGAUAGAAGCUAAACUCAAAAAGAAAACAUUUUUCAGUAUAACAUUGUAUAGUUAGGUAUUUACUCAUAUAAAAGGAGAUUAAUAGAGCCACUCACCUUCAAUGACUGCCUUCUAGUUACAUAAUUGGAAGAUGUCAAGAGUGCUUCAUAUCUGUCAAAGAACUGGAAAAUAAUAUCUCAUUAUAUGAACAAAGAAAUGGAGUUAGCGAUAUAAAAAAGAAACAACUUUGUGGGUGAAGGUUCCGUAUCGAGAGAAGAUAAUCUCAGGGAAACAGGCUAAUCUAUAUCUUGAUUCCAGACAACCAUGGGUCUAAACAAUAUCAUAAAAUAGAACUGUUGAUAUUUUGAAACACUAUAAAGGCCAAUUUGGAAAUCUAAUCCUUGGAUCAUGUCGCUUUUAAUUAACAUUGGGACUAAAUCAAUCUAUUUAUGAAGGAAUGAAGACGAAACAAAUGAAAGUAUGAGGAUUAAGUCGUUCAAAAUGACAAAAUUUAAGGGCUAAAAGUGAAGGUAAAAGUGAAGAAGAAGAAGCAAUAUACCUCAUCAUAAUGAGAGCUCAAGAAGUCGGAAACUAUAUCAGGAUGUUUUGUAAGCAGGUCCUGCCAGAAAUGUACUUGUUUCAAGUUUACUGUUUGCACAAUGGGUAUUCCAAUCUAAUGCAUUUUGGGUUAUGUAUAUACUAUACAGAAACUUAUGUCUAACCUUAAAAGUAGAAAAUGCAUCCGAUGCAACAUCAAAAUUAGGUAACUCCACAAACUUAAAGAACAAUUCAAAACUUGCAGACUCCAAUAUGUACCUGAGAAAUCACUACAAAAAUAAACUGUGAAGAAAUGAACUUCCCUCUUAUAAACUGAAAUAUGAGCUUCCUCGUCUACCGCUAAAAGGAAAGAUUAUUAAAUGAGGUUGGUACAAUGUGGCCAAGGGCUUUGCAUUUUUCAAUAUAGAGGUGAAACUAAAAGAUACAAUUUCACCACUCAUCUAAUGAUUUAGAGGGUGGCUGUCAUGCCACAUUGAAUAAUUUUCCAACAAGAGUCUCGCCUCCAUAACUUUUAAUGACUGGAAAAUCACUUUGUUAAGUUCCCUAAAUGAUGUCACAUGGGUAAUCUUUAGUUCAAAUUCAUAAGGUAAUUGAUUCUAAAAGAGGGGCAUGUUCAACAAUUUCAGAAAAUGGGUUUAAGAAACAUGAAAAUCAAAUAGAGAUCUUGAGCGCUAUGACAAUUUAGAAUACAAACAGGAUCUGCUGUUAUGCAAUUACGUUAUAGAUUUAUUAAAUAUGAAGGAAUGAUAGUAUUAGUAAGUGCCUAUCCAGCAAUUGCCAUGUGAUGGCUUUGGGCCCCCAAAUUCAAGGAUACAAAAAUGCUAAAAAUAUGAACUAAAGUUACUGGUGUGUACAAACAUGUCCAUAGAAUGAGCAAUGAGUGCUUGCACUUCCAAAAUUGUAUAAUACUUCUUUGUAAUCUUGUCAACCAAGGCUUUAUAUGGAGCUAUAGAAAUUUCUUACCUAAAUUCUAAUGUAGCAUCAAACUUUUAUUGAAGAGCAAAGUAGCACCAUCAACUAUACCACAUUGAUGAAACCUUAAUGGUAAAAGAACAUGCAUCUUACUUUGCAAGUGUUGGAAAUUUGAUGCAUUCCCUCAACAUAUUUCCACAGUUCACAGCAAUUUCUUUGUUGUCAUAGCUGCAUGUAACAGGUAUAAGGAAAGCUGUAAGCAGACUGGAGACGGUAGUACUGAACUUAGUACUAAUCUGAACAUUCCGUGAAAUGAUCUUAGCAGUUAAAUAGUAUAAGUUGGUCAAUGAAAUAAAGCCACCUACAAAAUAAUACCAUUGUCUGCAAGAGAAAUAAUUACUCUUGCCUAUGAAUCUCCCUAUUCAGCAGAUAAAUUAUUCACGACUUGACUCUUCUACGAUAAACAAACUACUCCAGAAAGAGGUAUCCUUGAACUUACCACACAACGAGAAAGUCUAACAACUCCAAAUGGUUCUCAAUGUACUGUACACAACAAUAAGUGGAGGCAACCUUUUGUUUCAACAAUAUGGACCAACAAUUGACAAGGUCCUUUCUUGCCUACAUUUAAAAAACAUCGUCAAUCAAAGGUUGAUUAAGAUGAACAUUCUGCCCAGCAAUCAACUGUUAGAAAUGUAAGAUAUAACUCACUUCCCAUCCCAGAACAGGCAAUUUAUGGAUUAGAAGAUCGAUAACACACUCUUUACAUAUUUCCUGUGUUAGCUGUAAAACUUGAUCCGCAUUGGGUUCAACCUCCGCGUCUCCAAUGAGCAUACAUCUCAUAGUAACAAAAUUCUUCUCAACUUCUUCCAUAGCCUGAAGCAAAGGAUCAUUCAUACAUUUAAACAACCUCCAAUUCAAAAACAAAAGAAUUCCAUCAAACAAUUCCCGUAAACCUAAAUGUAACUCCAAAUUAUCCUCGACCGGAAAUUUGAGGAAAUGAAACUAACCUUCUCAAGAGCUCUAACUUCAACGACGGUUUUGGUAUCGAGAGCCAUAAGGCUAUCCUUGAUGAAUUUGGCAACCUCUUGAGGGGUUUUAGGCCUCGAUGGCUUGAAGAAUGAGAACGACAUGAUCGAGAGCCGAGAUCAAAUUACUUGUUCCGUGGUUCCUCAACGUUUGCCCUAGCGAUCUUCGUUGAAUUGUAGAGAAUUAGCUGAAGCGACGUUCUUCGUCGUAAAGCUUCUGUGUAUUCAAUCGUUCGUGUGAAAUUUUCUGACGGAAUCUUCAACCAAACAUUCACAUUUUUUCUUUUGUUUAAUUUUAAUAAUCAAACAAAUGCAAAAGAUAAAACGUUGCUUUAUUGUUCCCAAUUAUGGCGUAUGAUUACGAAAUCAACGAUGGAACUGGACGAGGGAAGAACAACGCGGGGUGUUUCGCAAUGAAUAGGAGUAGGAUGGUGUACAGAAACUGAAGCGACGUCGUUCGUUCCCAGCUUUUCGAUGUAUCGGUUUGACCUAACGAUUGUCGUACCGUAUAUGUUCCUUUUUUUUAAUAAAUGGGUAAUUGUUUUAAAUUUAAAAAAUUGUUUGAAAAUAUUUUUAAAUUUUAAAUAUAGAAAAAUUUAGUAAUUUAUGUUUUGAUUGAGCCAUUAGUGAAUCGAGGACGAGCAAAAAAUUAUAAAGUUUCUAAAGUGAUACAUACCGUAAAAGUUUAUAAGAUAUCAAAUUGAUAUUUGUUGGUAGCAAGACCCACCAAUUUUUUUAACAAAAAAAAUGGAGUUCACGAAUCCUAUUUCUCGACUUUUUAUGACAAACACACCUUACUGUCUAUGUGAUAGAUAGUGAGGUUUUUAAUAUUGUGCAUUCCCUUUUAUAUAAACCAUAUAAUAACUCUUAUUUUCUUUUUAAAAAAUUAUCACUUUACGAAAAAUAGAUGAAAUAAUAAAUAUCCUCCCACCAAACAUAACAAAGCAAACAAAUAACACACAAACCAUCUAUGUUAUUGAGAUUCAAAAGUUAUAACGAUUUAAUGAGAAUCUUCAAAUACGAAUUCAUGCUUUAUUUAUUGACGAUGGAGUAAAAAAGAACUUGAUAAAAUAUUUUUAAAUAUAAAAAAUAUCUUAUAUAAGGAAUAUUUUUUAUAUUUUUAUUUAAAUGAAACAUUUAAAGAAUAUAUUAUCAUUUGAUGUCGAAAUUAAUUAUCCUAAAUAUAUAAAAGAUAUUUUGUUAUUUUUUAAAUAAAAAUAAUUUUAUAUUUGUUAAAACCUCUAACACAUUACAUGUUUUUAUUGAAUAUUAUAUGGGAUACGAUAGACGAAUGUUCUCCUUCUCCCUCUAUGAUUGCAAUAAAAAAAUAACUUUAAUAUAAUAAAAAAAUUAGAAAAACUGACAAGGUUUUCUAUCAAAUAAAGUUUUUUCUAUGAAAUGUAAAUUUUAAAAAAACCCAAUUAAAGUCUAUUUUUAAAAAUUUAGUUUUUAACUUUAAUUUUUUAAAUAUAUGUCUAUUCUUUUCCAAUAUCUUACCAUUGUUAGAUGUGUUAAUUCUCAAUCAAAGUUAAAAGUAAAAGAGUUAAAAGAUUUUUUUAGUUUUUAAAAUUUGACUUGAUUUUAAAAAACAUGUAAAGAAGUAGAUAAAAAGAAAAUAAUGAAAUACAUGGUAUUAUGAUUAAUUUGAAAAAUGGAAAACAACAAAAGUAAAUGGUUUUUUAAAAUUAAUUUUAGUUGCAUGAACACAUAAAUUCUCACAUAUUGCUAAAAUCAAAAAUCAACCUUAAUAACUAUUUUAAAAAAACAAUUAACUAUGGAGAUCGCUUUUUACUUAUUAUUUUUUUCAAUCUAAUCACGAAUAAAUCUAAUCUAAACUUUCACAAUACACAUUUGAAGCAAUGUUUGUUAUGAGUUCCUAAAAAUUUCAAGGAUUCUAACAUAAUUCGAAACUCAUACUCCUAACAUCGUCUCUAAUAUUAUCACACAUUUAAACGUUUGCUGACUUGUAAAUGACAAAAAAAGGAACACUCUUGGUAACUUGCAAAUAUCAAUUUAUUUUUACCCCUCAAACUUCGAGGUUCAUUGCAUCAAUCUAUAUAUUGUAUUUAAACUUUUUUCGACAAACAAUAUGUGAAACUAUGAGUCAAUUAAACUCAUAAUUAUUCGUAACGUAAUCAACGUAAAUCAUUAUUACUUUUAAAAAUCAUGAUAGGUUUAUCUAUUAAGAAUUUUAUUUAGAUAUUCUACAAAUUAAUUAAUCUCACAAUUCUCAGUAACAUAAUCAAUGUAAACAAUUGUUAUUUUUAAAAAUCAUCAUGCUUUCAUUCACAAACGUGAUAAAUGAAGAGGUUGUAGGAAGGUAAAUAUUAUUAGCGAUAAAUGAAGGGGUGUAGAAGAUGUAGUUACAUAUGAUCAUUAUUUUUUUUUAAAUACGCUUAUUCUUUAAUUGAAUUAAAACUAAAAAUGUGAAUGUUGAACAAAAAUUUUUGACCAAUUAAAUUCUACCACAUCAUCACAACAAAUAUUCAAUAAUUAAAUUUUAUUGGAUUUUGAUAAUUAAGUUUACUCAAUCAAACUCAAUUCAAGUCCAAUAAACAGAUUAGUCAAAGUCCAAACUCAACAAGCAGUUGAAUCCAAGUCCAAUAAAGCAAAUGGGUCCAAGCCCAAGUCAAAACCCAAUAAGGCAAAUAGGUCCAAGCCUAAGCCCAACAAGUAAUGGGUCAAAGCCCACCUAAAGCCCACAAAAUUUCUCUAUAAAUAGAGACAUUUGUCAUUCAUUUGUGGAUGUCUUUGGUUGAAGGAAGAAUUGAAGCACUGGAGAAUUGAAUAUUCAAACUUCUUAUCAACUUCGAGUAAAUACCAUGAAUUCCAUAAGACUGAGUCUCAAAUAUCGCAACUACAACAUCCUAAAGACCGAAGAUCAAAACUUGCAACUACAACAUCCUAAAUAUCGAAUAUCAAGACUUGCAACUACAACAUCCUAAAGACCGAAGAUUAUGAAAUUUUAAGUUUUUAAGUUGUAUUCGAGAGAUGGCAUCAAAUGAGUAAAUAUUAGAGAUUGUAUCGAGAGAAUACAUCAAAUGAGUAAAUACUAUAGAUUGUAUUAAGAGAAAACAUAAAAUGAGUAAGUACUAUAGAUUGUAUUAAGAGAAAACAUCAAAUGAGUAAAUACCAUAGAUUGUAUUGAGAGAAAGCAUCAAAUGAGUAAAUACCAUAAAUUGUAUUGAGAGAAAGCAUCAAAUGAGUAAAUACUAUAAAUUGUAUUGAGAGAAAGCAUCAAAUGAAUAAAUACUAGAGAUUGUAUUGAAAGAAAACAUUAAAUGAGUAAAUACUAUAGAUUGUAUUGAGAGAAAGCAUGUAAAUACCAGAGAUUGUAUUGAGAGAAAGCAUGUAAAUACCAGAGAUUGUAUUAAGAGAAAGCAUGUAAAUACCAGAGAUUGUAUUGAGAGAAAACAUGUAAAUACCAGAUAUUGUAUUAAGGGAAAACAUCAAACGAGUAAGAGAAAACAUCAAACGAGUAAAUACCAGAGAUUGUAUUGAAAUAAAACAUCAAAUGAGUAAAUAUUAGAGAUUGUAUUCACAAUAAUCAUCAAUAUAACAAAGUUUAAUUUCACCCAAUACACUUCUUCCAAAUCAUAUGUUUAAUUUAAAAAACGAAUCAUUUUUUUUUUUAAAUGAAAUAUUUGACAAACCUUUAAAAAACACUUUAAAUAAAAAUCCAAUAGUUUUUCAAAUGAACGAUUUGGGUAAAAGAUUUGGGCCGAAAGGAAAAUUACGAGGCAAGACACGUGGACACGUUGCUUGAAUGGCAGUUAUCAAUAUAGACAAGGGGUAUUAUAGUAAAUCAACUAUUUCCUUCGCCAAUGAAACCGCCGACUCCACCGUUCCUCCAACUAUAAAGCCCUUCCUCCGAUUUCCCUCCCCGGUAUUUAUGACUGCUUCUCCCUGAAGCCAACAAAUUUCGCUCUCAAAUUUCACCGACGAAGAGAUUGGAAGUUCUUCAUACAAAAUGCGAGGCCACGAUUGGAUCAAUACGGUUCUUCCUGAUGAGUUGAUCGUUGAGAUCUUCCGGUGCCUUGACUCGAAGCUUAGUCGCGAUGCUUGUUCUCUCGUUUGCCGGCGUUGGCUCAAGCUCGAGCGCCUCAGCCGGACCACCCUACGAAUCGGUGCAACCGGUAGUCCCGACCUCUUUGUUCAGCUCCUUGCUCGCCGUUUUGUCAAUGUCAGAAAUGUCCACAUUGACGAGCGAUUGGCCAUUUCUUUUUCCCUUCAUCCAGUAAGGAAUCAACGUUCACUUCAAUUCUCCCCUUGAAAUACAUUUAGGUUUUCGGAUGAUGCUUUUUUUUCUUUUUUUUUUUUAGUUUUGAUGUUUUCACCAAUGGAAUUUGCGUGUUGAUUUGAUUUUAUGAUUGUAUUGUGUGCAAUUGAAAACUUUGAUUCUCGUAUCAAGCACUCUGGAGACUGAACUAGAAUAAUAAUAAUACAUUUUGUGAAUUUAGGUCAGAGGAUAAGGAGAAAGUAAUCGGCAGAAUGGUUCAAUUUUACACAGAGUGAUUGUACGCGUUGUAUUUAGGUCAUUAUGUGAAGUUAUACUAGCGCUCAAGAAACAGUUUUAUUCAGGGAGGUGAAAUGAUUUUUAAGUUGUGUGCAACUUCAAAAUUUAAUAGCUACUCGAAUGAAAUUACCCUUGCUUGUUUAAGUUGCUAUCUUCCAGAUGUAUAGCUUGGCGUGACAUGUUCUACUUUUUGGGUACUAAUUAUUGUUGCGGCAAAGAAUCGUUUUGUUUGAGUUCUGUUUGAUGUAUUGAUUAGUUUCUUCUUCUUUUCUGGUUGUUGUUGUUAUCACCUUUUUUUAAAAAAAUCUCGAGGAGAGGGUAUUAAUUUCACUGCCCGUCCGAGUUGAAGAUUUAAUUUAAUGAAAUUAAUAAAUCAAGGAUCAAAUUCAACCAAAGCAUCACAAAGAUUUUUGAGAGUUUUAUUCGAAAUUUUUAUGCAGAGAAGAAGACGUCGCAAAGAAGCCACGCGUUUGCCAUACCAUGGAGCUGAUAAUACUGGGGCUGAAGGUGUGUUGGAUUCUUCUUGUCUGUCAGAUGCUGGGCUAAUUGCUCUCUCCGUAGGUUUUCCAAACCUCGAGAAACUAAGCUUAAUUUGGUGCUCUAAUAUUUCAAGUCACGGUUUGACAUCCCUAGCUGAGAAGUGUAGAUUUUUGAAGUCACUGGAGCUACAGGUAAUUCUUAAUUUACGAAUAAGGAACACAGUGGAACGUCAAUUUUAAUAGAAAUGAUACCUUGUGAUACAUUUAAAGAUCAUUUUCUCAUUUAAAAGCUCAUAUAUAAUUGAGACUCAUGUCCCUAGUUUGUUACUGUUGCAAAAAUCUACUGUGCUCGCCAACUAUCUUUUUGAAAUUCAUGCAUGGUAGUAGGCGUGCCUUGUGCUUUUCCUUCUCUUUUUACCUUAUUGUUUUGCUUAACUAUCAUGUCCGUGCAGGGUGACACCUAAUCAUUUGGGGACAACAAAGAGAUAGGUAAUUAAUAUCAUAGGUAGAAAGGUGGCCAUCACGAUCUUACUUGAACAGGAUCUGUUCCAUGGAUUGUACAAUUAUGUCAUUGUGUUCUAAGGUAGGAAGGUGGCUAUCUUGGUUUGGGAUGUGCCCUUGCAUUGUGUCAUUUAGAGUUUUAGACAUCCAAAUGGCUUCAGAAAAGGCAGAUGGCACAACCUGCCUAUAUAUGAUCUUCACUUGUUCAAGUUCUGCCAAUUAUAGAAUCUGUUCUCUUAUGUGGUUAAUAGCUUUUAAUUCUAGUAGGAUAGCUGUGUAGCCAAUGUAUGAGUCUGGCUUUAGACUGAAAUCUUGUAAUGAAAUGGGUUUUAUUCAUCUGGAGUUGCAGCUGAAGUCUAGCUUUUCUGAAUCGGAAUUUAUUUUAAGACUUCCUGUUUAGAUGCUUCUAUCGAUUAUAAUCGUGGUUUCCCCAAUGUGUUUCACCUAUGCUUCUUUAUCUCAAGAUUGGUUACUAUGAGUCGAUGUCCUUUCUGAGAUGUACUUAUUUAACUCUGAUAUAGGGCUGCUAUGUUGGGGACCAAGGUGUAGCUGCAGUUGGGGAAUUCUGUAAACAACUUGAAGAUGUAAAUCUACGUUUUUGCGAAGGAUUGACUGAUGCCGGUUUGGUUGCAUUAGCCCGUGGUUCUGGGAAAUCAUUGAAAGCAUUUGGUAUUGCAGCUUGUACCAAAAUAACGGACGUCUCAUUAGAAUCUGUGGGUGUGCACUGCAAAUACCUUGAGGUGUUGUCGCUUGAUUCAGAAGUUAUCCACAACAAAGGGGUGCUUUCUGUAGCUCAAGGCUGCCCGCAUCUGAAAGUUUUGAAGCUACAGUGUACAAAUGUCACGGAUGAAGCUUUGGUAGCUGUAGGCUCCUUAUGUCCUUCUCUAGAGUUGUUGGCUUUAUACAGCUUCCAGGAAUUUACCGACAAGUAAGAUUCUUUUAAAUAGAAAAAUAGGAACUCAUUCUCUCCCUCAACAUGGAGACCUCAUUUUUGUGAUAAUUAAACCUUCUUUUGAGCUGUUAAAUUUGAAGUCAAGGGAAUUUGUCUUUUGGGAUUUAUCUCCUUGAUUUAACAUAGGGAUAUACAUACAGCAUGACUUCAUCGAGAACGGAACACUAUAUCUGAUAUUUUUGUCAAAAUUAAAUGUGUAUUAAUGGUUGACAGUACUAGCAUCAGGAAGAAUCUUGAUCUUCACAUUUUUCAUUUAUUUACUCUCCCACAUUCUUUUAAUGAUGAUUCAGGGGUUUACGUGCCAUUGGAGUAGGCUGCAAGAAGUUAAAAAAUCUCACUCUAAGUGAUUGCUAUUUCCUGAGCGAUAUGGGCUUGGAAGCUGUUGCAGCUGGUUGUAAAGGACUAACACAUCUUGAAGUGAACGGCUGCCACAACAUUGGGACCAUGGGACUUGAAUCCAUCGCAAAAUCUUGCCCGUAUUGUUUCUUUACAAUUCCUUUGGACAGUCUUUUUAGAGUAUUCAAAUGUUUCUAGAUUUAUUAUCUGCAAUUCUUGCUGGCUUCCUUGCUGUGGGAUUUCUUGUAGAGCUAUUCUUGUUCUUGGCAAUUGUUUGUAUGGGUCAUUACGGGUCACUUCCAUUUAAUCACAGUGAUUUUUUCCACUGUUGAUUAUCUCAUUUUUAUUGUUUUAUUUUGAAUCUCUUCAUUGUUCCUUUUUUUCAGCCAACUCACUGAAUUGGCUUUGCUGUACUGCCAAAAGAUUGUUAACUCUGGUCUUCUCGGAGUUGGUCAAAGCUGCAAGUUCUUACAAGCGCUUCACUUGGUAGAUUGCGCAAAAAUUGGAGAUGAAGCGAUAUGUGGCAUAGCCAAGGGAUGCAGAAAUUUGAAGAAACUCCAUAUUCGUCGAUGUUAUGAGGUCUCUUUCUCUCUCUCCCCUCUUUUUUUGUGACUUCACAUUCAUCAUUGUUAUCCGUUAUAAUUUUUGUUUUGUUAAAAAAUUAUAUUUUUGUUUGAUUGUUGUUAUGUUGUUCGUUGCAUCUUUGGGUUGAGUUUUCAGCAGGAUGGCUAACCAAGUUUAUUAAUUUUCAAAAAGAAGUGAAGAACAACAAUUUCAUCUUCAUAUUGUUUGAGUGAUACUUUGCAAAUUUGGUGUUCCCAUCAGUGAACUGAAAAAUUUUCGACAAUUUUAUCUAUGGAUAUUAAUGUUGACUGCCAACAUUAACUUUCCUUUACUGUAGUAUUUGAUCUUCUUCCAUAUUUGUAUCUGUCUAGUACUUUACGAAUACUAUGUGUAGAAAGCAUCAGACCCUCACUUGGUAAAACAAGUUGUAUGUGGCUUGGAUUUAUCAAUCUACCCUGCCUCAAAUAUUGACAUUCAAGUGGGAAGGAAGGGAACUAACUAUUAAUCAAGUUAUUUCUUUAUAUACUAGGUUGGGAAUGCAGGAAUCAUUGCUAUUGGCGAGAAUUGCAAAUUCCUCACAGAUUUGAGCGUCAGAUUUUGUGAUAGGUACAAUUUUUUAAUCUCAGAAAACUUUUCUUUUUGUCUUAAUCCUUAUGAUUUUAACUUUUAGGGUUGGUGAUGAGGCACUUAUUGCCAUUGGUAAGGGUUGUUCCCUUCAUCAGCUGAACGUUAGUGGGUGCCAUCGUAUUGGUGACGAGGGAAUUGCAGCCAUCGCUAGAGGUUGUCCCCAGUUGAGUUACUUGGAUGUAAGCGUUCUUGAGGUAUGCCCCUUGCUUCUCUUUGAAUGCCAGUUUGAAAUAAAUAUCUAGGGGACUAUAAACACCUUAAACUUAAAAUCAUUUUUAAGCACAGGCCUCUUUCAUUUGAUGUUACCAAGUAAUGCAUUGGUAUAUACAUUUGUAAGUUCUCCUUUCAUCCUUGUUCCUGAACUAAAGCUUCACAAUUGCUAGAAUUACAAUUAUACACACAUUAAUUCCAUUUAAGUGUUACUACAAGAAAAUUUCCCUGGACGCUGCACCACAAUGCAUUUAUCAACUUGGAAAUAAGUGACCAUAUUGUAAUUUGUCCAAUCCCUAUACACCAUUAUAUGGUCAAAAUUCAUCCAAUUAGUUUAUCACUAAAAUUAGAUCUUUUAUCCCAACAUUUUUAAUGUUAUUGGACAGAACUUGGGUGAUAUGGCAAUGGCUGAGUUAGGCGAAGGCUGCCCAUUGCUCAAGGAUGUGGUAUUGUCUCACUGUCACCAAAUAACUGAUGCGGGUGUAAUGCAUCUAGUGAAGUGGUGCACCAUGCUCGAAUCCUGUCACAUGGUCUACUGUCCAGGUAUUUCUGCAGCUGGAGUUGCCACUGUCGUUUCUAGCUGCCCCAGCAUAAAGAAAAUUCUCAUUGAGAAAUGGAAGGUGAGUGAGAGAACAAAGCGACGUGCUGGUUCAGUUAUUUCAUACCUUUGCGUGGAUCUCUAGAACUUAUUCUCGUGCUGGUGACACCUAAUUUCAGCAAAUCGAUUUGAAUUUGUGAUGGUUUUACUUUUCAGUUGGCCUUUGAGGUUAUUUUGUGCUGUAUGUUCAGUUGUAGUUCUUAAAUAAGAAGAGGAACAUGCUUUUGUCAAAAGAGAAAUAUUGACAGAGCUUGAUUAAACCUCGUUGAUAAUAUUUGUAUAGAGGAGCAUCAGCCUAAUUAAGGGACAAUUCUGAUGUGAAUUUAAGAAAAAUCCGGCAGUUUAGCGAGAAUGUCCCGUUGGGGUGAUUUGAACCCAAUUGAGGCCGAGAAGAGCUCAGAGUAAGCUUCAAGUAGGUGGUCUUGACUUUGUAGUAACAAACUAAUUUAUAUAAUUGUAACAAAGUAAGUUCUUUUAGCCCAGGGGAAAUCUUAUUAUUAUUAUUUUUAUCAUCUAUUAUAAUUGUUCCACGAGUAUGUUUAACCUUUGCUCUUUGUUUCAAAUAAAUAUCCUAAUUGAGACUUUCUUUUUUGUUUAACACACUGUUUGCAACAUAAAUGUGUAAGAAUGGAUUCCUGUUGCCAUGGUUGUGUGCUCUUGGAUGACCGAGUCCACAUAUUUUCUGCAUUGUAUGGUUUCAAAAAUCAUUAUCGAUACUCCUUUAGGUGCCCCGAGGCUUUGGUGCGUUUGCAUCAUCUUGUACCAUUUUCUCAGAUUGUCAGGUCCUGACUAACAUGGUUAAUUGCUUCUAGGACAUAUCUCCUGAUAUCCAUGAUUUGAUUUUUGAAAUUUGGGAUCCGACUACAUCUUUUACUCAAUUUUCUUGGUAUCUCGUGGUUCUUAUGGUAUUUAUCUAUACUAAAUUAGCAAGUAAAAUUUGCUCUUUUAGUCAUGACAACUAAAUCAACGUCUAGAAAAAAUGUUCUUAAGAGGAAAAUAAAUUUAAAAGCACGGAAGGGGUAGUUUUAAACCUAGCAUUUGAAACUAAUUACAAAAUCUAUCUGAUGUUUUUUUAGUUUGUAAAUAAUUUCAAUAUAUAUUUUUUUAUUUUGAGAAUUUCUUGAAAAUUAUUUGUAAGAAUUUUCUACCCUUGUUAUUAUAAUUAAUGAGAUUCUAGUUUGAUGGAUUAUUUUUUCUCUCUUGGAACCGGGUUGCAAUUUUUAAUGUUAAUCUAUUUUCUACAUAUAUACAAAUUAAACUAUUCAAGUCGAGUUUAUUUCUUAAACUAAGAAAAUUGAUGAAUUUUUUGGAGAAAUUUAGUAUUGUGGUAUAGUUCUUUCUCAAGGUUGUUCUUAAUUUUAGAAAGUUAGGAAACUAUAUAUUCUUUCUUAUGUUUCUUCAACGUUGAACAAAAUGUAGGGAGCUAUACACUUAAGUUUUUAACCUUAGAAAGUUGUGUAGUUGAGAUCAAUCACACUUCUAGUCUUUAGAAUCAAAUGAAGUUUUAAUUUUCAAGGUCUUUCAUCUUUCAAGGGCUUCAUAGCAAUUUUCAUGUUCUCAAUUUUGGUAUUUAUUUUAUUUAUAGAGAUUUCAAAUGGGCUGUAUACGAUCGUUUUCUUAAGCAAAACAUUUAUCUAAUUUAUGUUUUCAGAUCUGAUUAGCCUUCGAAAGCAAUCUAAGCUUAAUCACAGUAGAAGCUGAUAAGCUCAUAACAAAUUUUCAGAUUGAAGAUACAUGAGCUUCUACGUUGUGGCUAAGUUUCUCACCCAAACAAUUUUCUUAAAAUUUUUAUGCUCUAAAAAUAUUUCUUCAAAUUCGGAAUUUCCUUUUAAAUUUUAAUUUGGAGUUGUUUUUCUUUUAUCCCUCCCGGGUCUUACAAAAACGUUUUGACCCAAAAGAAUUACUGAAUUUCCCAUUUUCCAAUACACAGCACAGCUUCCCAGUCACCUCCGUCCAUUCUUCUAACCGGUAGUUAUUGAGCUUGAGCAUCCGUCGCGGAGAAGAAGCUAUGCCUGAUGGUUGCGGCAUCAGAGCCAUUUGGAUCUUCAGCAACUUCGACGCUGUUAUUUUCUCCAGGUUCUCUCUUCCUCAUCUGGUUUUCCUCGACCGCAUGAACUAGAAUCGAUGUUCUUUAGAAUUUUCUUUCUUUUACUUUCAUUUUUAAUUUCUUUAGCUUUGCAAUUGAAUCGCUCUAUUGUUUUUUGUCAUUUUUGAAUUCGUUCGUUCGUUUGUUUUCUUUUCGGAUUAUCGAUGCUUUUUUGUACAUCGAUGAAGAAUUACUUCCUUAGCUUUUAAUUUUGAUGUUUCUGGUGCAAUAAUGCUGGUUUCUUCAUAAUUCAGUAGCCUAAUGUUCCGGUUUCAUAUUUAUUUGAUUAUCUAAUUCCUUCUUCUAUUGGCGUUUCUUUACAGGAGGUUUCCAGUGGUAGAGAGGCGGUGGCGAACUGCAUGCAAGAUCGAGAAUGAUAGAUGUAAUUCUGACGACAUCGCAUCUGACGUGUCUCCGGUACUUCCUAAUGAUUCGGAGUUAGCUGCUGCAUUUGUUGAGAGAAAGAAGAGGUUAGUUGAGAUUAUUUUCAGUUUUCUUGUUAGAAAACUCGUUAGGAAGUUAAUUUGUUCUUUUAUUUCUACGAAGUCGAUGGCCUAGUUGUAGUCUAAUGUACUAGAUUUUGGUGUCGUUUUUGUGAUGUAUGUCAAAUGAAAUAUCAAUCUCUCGCAAAUCUUUGUGAUCAUUUGGUGUUUGGUGUGAUCUUAGUCUAAACACAACUUUGCUAAAUUUAUAUCAAUCUAACACAGAGUAGAUUUUCUGGUGUAACUGGUUUCAGAAUGUACUAAAUACGAGCCGCUUUCAUCACUAAGUGUGUUGUGUAAUAUUUUUCUCACUGGUCUUUGUUAGCACAUAUUGUAAUGUCAAUCUAUCACUUGUAGUUGAUUUGCUGGCACCACUGGUUUCAGGAUGUAGUUGUACAAUUCUUUGUUAUCAUUAAGUGUGUGGCGUGAUCUUCUUCUCACAAGUUACAUGUCUUUAUCAUCUUGUAAUGCCAUAUCACUAGCAGUAGAUUUACUGGUGCUGAUGGUUUCAUGACUUAGUAAAUGCCAAUCUUUGUCAUCAUUGAGUGUGCAGUUUGAUCUUAUUCGCACAAAGUACUCUGUUGUUGCUUUUGAUGAAGGCUAACUAUGAUACAAAUUAAUGGAAAUAUACUGUUAUAAGUUGUUAUUUCCUGCAAAGUUCGGCACAAAAGGAUUAAUGGUCGUAAAAAGUUCUUGAGUAUUGAUGCUCACAUUUUAUGAGUGCUUUCUAUUCCUUUCAUCCUUCUCUCCCUUCAUUGCUAUCAAUUUUCCAUCUUUGUACAGAGAGGGAUCUGCUUGUGGGUUUGGUAUUCGUGUUAUUCAGUCAUAUGAGGGAAGUGAUUCUUGGGUUGAUGACCCUAUUACACGCCAUAUCAUUGGACUUCAUGUGAAGAAAGAAGAAGAGAGUAGUAUCUUUCUAUGGCCCCUAAUAUUGAACAUAAAGAGCCAUUAUUCCAUUCUUGUAUUGCCCUUAGUUGAACCACAGCACAUAAAACAUUAUGCAAGUUUGUGCAAAAGAUCUGAUUGUGGAAGUGCUAUUGGAGCAGAAAGUUCCUUAUCCUCCCUCCUGCUUGAUCUUCCUUCCAUCACAGGGUAAUGUAAGUUAUUUGCUCUAUUAUAUUAGGAGUAGAAUACCAUCUUCAUUAUUUCGAAGGCCCUGAAGUAGACGAGUUUUAUAAUUUUUCUGCAGGGCAUUCAUGGUUGCACUUGCUAUUGGUGAUGUAAUCACUGGUGAUGCUGUUGAACCGGAUGUCCUCGUCAGUGCAUCUCCAUCUGUGGGAGGUUUAUUGGAUUCAUUAACAGGUAGCAUGGGAAUAUCAGGAAUCUCUGCUAGGGCAAAACCUGUAGCUUCUCCCAGCUCAUCUGUCAAUCCUUCUACCAAUACUGUGGCAGGAGCUCUUAAUUCAGAUGCCCCUAGGCCUUUGGAUAAAGAUGCACUUAGAUCUUUCAUAAGCAGUUCAAUGCCCUUUGGUUGGUAUUUGGUACUACUCUAUAUCGCUUUUUCAAAAUUUAUUACUUUGCUCGUGCAGGUUCAUGUAUCUGACUGGCCUCUUUUUUUUCUUUUCUUUUUUUGGUGUUAAUUAUAUGCUAGGAACACCCUUGGAUCUCAGCUAUACCAAUAUAUCUUCUAUCAAAGUAAAUGGUUUUUCCUCAUCAGAUCCGCCUCCUGCUGAUGUUAAACAACCAGCAUGGAAGCCAUAUCUGUAUAAAGGGAAGCAGAGAGUGAUACUUACAAUUCAUGAGAUCAUUAAUGCAGCUAUGUAUGACAGGGAUGAGAUUCCAGAUAAAAUAUCAGUUUCUGGUCAAAUAAAUUGUCGAGCUGAAUUAGAAGGGUUGCCUGAUGUUUCCUUCCCCUUAGCAGGGUCAAAUAAGGCUCGCAUUGAGGGCUUAUCAUUCCAUCCUUGUGCCCAAGUUCCUGAACAUGGUAUAGAUAAGCAAGCUGUGAUGUUUUCUCCCCCACUUGGUAAUUUUGUUUUAAUGCGUUAUCAGGCGGUAUGUGCUGCUGGGCCUCCUGUUAAAGGAUUUUAUCAAUUAUCCAUGGUCUCUGAGGAUAAAGGUGCUUUUUUGUUCAAGUUGUGUUUGAUGGAAGGUUAUAAAGCUCCUCUGUGUAUGGAGUUCUGUACUGUGACUAUGCCUUUCCCUAGAAGAAGGAUCGUAUCUUUCGAUGGAACUCCUUCAAUUGGAACAGUUUCCACUACUGAACAUUCAGUCGAGUGGAAAAUUUUAGCAAGUGGACGAGGGCUCUUGGGAAAAAGUAUUGAGGCAACUUUUCCUGGAACAAUUAGGUUUGCACCCUGGCAAAUCCAAAGAUUGCAUUCUUCAAGUCCUGUCACUCCUAGUGUAGAAGAGGUAGAUAGUGAUGUCGAGGCUGAAACUGCAAGCAAUGUGGUCAACAUUGAGGAAUUUUUAAUGGAAAAAAUGAACAAGGAUCUUCCUCCAGUCGAACUAGAGGAGCCAUUUUGCUGGCAGGCUUACAAUUAUGCCAAGGUAAACUCUUUUAUACUAUUGAGAAUUAUAACAUUUCUUUGCUGAAAGUUUGAAGUUAGUUCUUUUUUUUCUAAACAGAGUUCGAAGUUAAAUCUUAUCAUAAAGUAACCAUGCUUGCAUUCUCCUGUUACGUUGAAUGACGUUGUGUUUCCUAUCAUUAUCAUUUACUUUGGAAUCCAUGGCAUGAAACCUUCUGCAUCUUGUUCUUGCCUUUAGAUCAUAUUAAAAAUUCAAGGCAUCAGAAAAUGAUUUUUAUAUAAUUAUCUUCUUGUGUAUAAGUGAAAUGUCCAACCAAUCUGUGCUUGUCUGAUGGUAUGUUGGAAUUUUUUGUCUACCUACAUGGAAAUUCUGCUGAGAAGGAAGGUGCUCUUUUUCUUUUGUUAUUUCUCAUGUGUUUAAAGGCAAUGCAUGUUCCAUAACCUAUUUGUAGGAUUAAUGAUGGGUUGGCUGGUUCCGAUUUGAAAUAUAGUUUAUAGCAGGUUGUCUGAAACACUUUUUCUGUUGAUUCUGAUCUCAGGUAUCGUUCAAGAUUUUAGGGGCAUCGUUAUCAGGAAUAUCUGUUGAUCCUAAAUCUGUGAGUUUCUGAUCCCGCUUUGCAAAUCUCAUUCUGGUUUAUUAAGCUAGGCCACAUGUAGUUCCAGCACUCGUGUGAUGGAUCAGACUGUUGAAUGCAUGUAUCUACCAAUACGUAUAUAUGUUAAACUAGUAUGAUUUUAGAUGUAGGUUGACGCACAUGGAGUUGUUUUAGGGUGCAUAAAGCUUGCUUCCCAGAUUUAUUCCACCCGUUCUUAAGUACAUUUUCAGCAUUUUCUGAUAGCCACAUCACAUGUUUAUAUUUGUUGAAUCUCUAUUCAUUUUUGUUCGUGGCAUUCUAAUUCAACUACACCAUAAGGUUACCAAACAACGGAAGUACAGUUACUUUUCUCCUCAACGUUCUCUGGUUGUGGUGACAAAAAUUUUCUGCAAUUAUUUGCUGAGUUUUAUUUUGCUUGGUUGGAGUCCUUUUCUGUAGGGUUACUACUGCUUGUGGGCCUUGUUUCUUUUAUAUGCCCUUUAUUCUUCGUUUUUUCUUAAUCAGUGCUGGUCUUCUAUAAAAAUAGAAGGAAAAAAAACUUUCCUCCCCUUAGAUUUAGUUGAGUUGUAAAAUGGUUUUUUCUUCAUCUUCAAUCUUCAAUCUUCAAUCUUCAAUCUUCCUCCUGUUACGACUCUUAUAAUUUCUUGACAUCCAUUUUGCCUCUCCAAUAAUGCCCCCAAUAUUUACUCUUGAACGAAGAUCUUCCCCUUUUUUGCACACGAAUUAGCUUAUUUUCUGUUUGUCUUUUAUACCAUAUGGAACUGAAAAUAAUAUAUGUUCCUAAACUCUUCAAAUUUUUCUGCUCGUUCAGGUUAGCAUUUAUCCAGCUGUUAAAGCUCCAGUUGAAUUUUCAACCCAGGUUUGUAAUUUUACCAUGGCGGGCUUUUGUUUUCUUUUUGUUUUCGUUUUCAUAUGGCAAUAUAAUAAUAAUAAUAAUAUUAAAAAAAAAGAAAAAAGAAAACCCGGAAUACCUUCUUUUCUCUGUUCUACAACUCAACGUAUAAGCUUCCAUCACACAGCACUUUAAACGUGCAAAGCUAAAUUUUUUUCCCCUAUAAUGAAAUGAAAAGCACUUCUUGUCUGUUUGCUAUAAUAUUGUCGGGUUCCUGUUUAUUAAGUUUGUAAAAACAUUUGUUAACCUAUUCAUUUAAUUCUUGAAAUGCACAGGUUACCUCAGGGGAUUACAUUUUGUGGAACACCUUGGAUAAGUGCCCGUCUGUUGCCUCAGAAACAAUAUAGCUGGUACAUGCCACUCUAUUACACAGUUCUAGUGAUUUUAGGUGGCGACCAGUCUAUUUCGGUUCCGUUAUUUCUCCACUUUACUGUUACGAAAAUCUUCCAUGUUUGUGCUAAUAGGGACAUGUAUAUUCUUGUUGAAUUACACCAUUUGUUAUUUGUCACACCAGUCAAUGAACAAUUCCCCGCAGCAGAAUUCUGUGGGUAUAUCUUUCCGGUGAGCAGAAUUUUGCACUCAUCACUUUGUAGUCUUUGUUACACAAUUCUCGUUUGCACUUUAUUUAAAAUUUAUUUCACCGAAACGUGCACAAUGUAAUUAGGGGGUCCAAAUAGAUGUCUUGCUUUGUUGAAGGCCCUGGGCUUUUGACUUUUGAGAUGCAUACUAGAAUGGUUUUAGCAUUAGUGCACCAAUAUGAGUUCUAGAAAACACCGAUUCUUGCGUUAGGUUACUAUUCAUUUUUGUGGUAUUCUGAAUUGUUAUUGCAUUCUCUUAUCUAUCUUGAUAGAAAAAUUUAUGCUCUUGAAAAAGAGAUGACCCAAUUCAUCGUCGGAGUUGGGCUGAAAGAGCUGAUUCCAAUCGGUCAGUGUUUGAAAUUAAGUAUAGUUGCAACUUUAGUAAUUAAAUUCAAAUUAAUAAGUAUAUAGUACAAUUUUAAAAAAUUUAUAAAUAUAACAAAAUUUGUCAAAAUCUAUCAAUAAUAUAAGUCUAUCACUGAUAGACAAUGUUACAAAUAUUGUUUCAUCACUGACAUGCUAUAUGAAGUUUAUCAGCGAUACAAGUCUAUCGGUAUAAUUUUGCUAUAUUUGUAAUUUAUAGUUUUACUAUAUUUGUAAUUUUUUUAAAAUUUUGCUAUAUCUUUAAUUAUUAUUGUUAAAAUAGUCCUCCAUUCCAAUGAGAAAGGCAAAAUUACUACUUUACCCCAAUUUAUUUAUAGGUUUUUAAAUUCUACAACAAAUCCAUUUGUCAUUUGUCAUUUUUUUUAAUAAGAAAUGAUAUUGGCUAUUAGGCGUUCUCUUUUUCUUUUAAAAAUAUGAUGGGAAAUUUAUUUAAAAAGAAAAGAAAGAAGAUAGAUUGUAUGAUUUGGGUCAUGUCAUGCACAUAAGCUAAUGAUUACAUAAGAACAUCAAAAUCAUUGUGCUGAAUAUUUGUUUAUGUUAAUUGAUUUAAUUGUUAAUUUGUUGAUUUGAAGGUGCAGCUGCUUGUACCGAUCUCAUUAUCAGUGCAUGCAGAGGAACUUUUUGGUACUCUCUAAUUGCACUUGUCUGCCUGGAUGGUCACCACACAAUCAGCCUAUCCGCCUUUCGUAAGGUACUCCUUAGUACCCUCCAUAUCCUCUCUAUCAAAUCCUACCUUACACCUCCCUAGAGAGAGAGACGUUCUUAUAUCAUACAAUUAUUAAAAAAGAAAAAAAUGGUUUUCAAGUGUCAAAAUGUUCAUUUUUAGUCUCAAAGCUUUGAAUUUUUGGUUUCAAUUUAGUUAGGUUUUAAAAUUUUGCAAUUUUGUCACCAGUUUUUAUUUUAGAUUCACGAAUUUUUGGGACAUUUUUUUAAAAUAUCAAAAUAAAUUAAAAUAUUUACAAGUUAUAGACAAAUUUUGGAUUCCGUCAUUUUCUAUCACAAUAACAUGUUCUAUCAAUAUGCUAAUUUUCUAUAACCAAUUUAAUAUAGGUUAUAAAUGUUUUGUAAAAUUUACUAUUUUUAAAGGUUCUUCUAAAUUUUUUCAUUAAAUGUGUACGGUUUGUAUUUCAUUUUAAGAUCUAUCAGUUAAUUUAAAUAAAAGGUUGACACAAAAUUGAAAAUAAACUUACAGAUUAGAGAUAAAAAAAAAAACUUACUUUUCUAGGAAGUAUAUGAAGUUCUAUGAAAAAAUGUCGAUUUAAGUUUGGAAGGAAAAUCGAUCUAAAUCAACUUUUAAAAAAAGAUCUAAAUUAAAACAUUACCAUGAUUAAAUGCAUUUGUUUUUAUUUUAAUAAAAAAAAUGAUUUCAAGUUUAAGUGUUGUUUUGGUCCUGCACUUUCAUAGUUCUUUAUGGUUCCCAAACUUUCAAAUGAUAUGUUCCAGUGUUUGUAUAUUGUAUAAAAACCAUUCUUAUCCUUUAAUAAGUAUUAUUUUGUUAAUCAUUUUAACUAAAAUGUAAUGUGCUUUGUGUAAAGUAAGUAUAGAUUUAUUUUUAGUUUGUAAUGAUUGUUUUGGGAACCAAUUUAAAUUGUGUUAAUUGGAAUAAAAUACCUAUGCAAGUUCAGGCCAAAAUUUCCUUUGAACUUUUUUUUUCUAUCUAUGAUUAAUGAUAAAUAUAUAUAUAUAUAUAUAUAUAUAUAUAUCUGCAAGUACCCAAUAACAGUUUAAAGAUAUUUUUAAAGAAUGGUAGUAAUAUCAAAAUCUAUUGAUAAUAAAUUUAGCUAACAGAAAUCUACAGGUGAUGUUCUUUUUUUUUAAAAAAAUAUAUUUACUGAUAUCUUGAGUCUAAUUUCUAUUUUAAAAAGGCACAUUUAUAGUUUUUUGAAAAUUUAAUAUGUUUCAAGAGGAGAGAGAUGGAAUUGAUAGACUUUCUUAUUCUCAAGUUGAGAGGACAGGGAGUAAUCAUUAGCGUUACUCUAAAGAAUCUUAUUUGUUACAUUAAGAACCUAAAAAGAAAAAGGCAUUUUUAGAGUUCCAAGAUGUCGGCAAACGCCACAUUAAAUAUUGAACAACCACGCUUUUCUAUGUUAAAUUUUCAUAGGAAACUGAGAACAAAUCUAAAUUGGGGUUUGAGUUGGGACUUCUUUCAAUAAUGCUUAAACAAAAAAUGGGUGGAUUUUGUACCAAGAGCAAACAUUCUUAAACUCCAUGAGUACCAAAAAUGAAAAAGAACUAUGAUUUAAUAAUUUAAUGAGAUGUAUAAAGAUGGUUAUAAUUUAAACUAUAGUUGGGUUUUUUUUUCUUUUAAAAUAGAAUGCAUAGAGAUAAAUUUAAAUUGAAUGUUGGUUUAUGAUUUAAAUUGAUACAAUUUCUAACUUCAGUGUUAUAACCCUAAAUGAUGUUUGCCCUAAAAAGUAAUUAAACUUUUGUGGAGAAGGGCAGAGGGUUUGGAACAGAGGGAACAUGAUGCCCUCCAUGCUUACAACUCCAUGCCUCACUCUCUCUUUAUAUUAUAAUGUUACUUUCCAUAUGGCUUCUUGUCACAAGACGGGGCGGGGAGAAGCUUCUCUCUUUCUCUCUCUUUCUCUCUCUAGGGCUAUUGUGGGCCUAAUAGGGCUUUGAGAAGCAAUUGGUUUUCCCUUUCGCUCUCUCUCUAUUUCUAAGCCUUUCUGGGUCCACUAAAAUGGGCCCCACAAAACACCACAAAAUGACACCAUCUUUAUGUCAGCAGCUUAGUGAACAGGAUGCUUGAAAGCUUACACUAAUCUAACAAUUGUUUCACUAAAAAUUUUGAGGACGAAAAUCAACUAUUGGGUAAUAGUUUCACCCUAUUAGUAAGACUGCUUCUUAGAAAAACCAGAAGAUAAUGUAUCUGAGAAAAAUAGCUGCAAAUUUGUAAGUUUAAGAUUGCAACGUUUAUCGAAGUUUGAGGUCCACUUCAAAUAAAAUAAUGAAACAACACAAUAAGUUUUUGAGAGUAAAGUUUAAGUUCCACAAAUUUGGUAUCUGACUAAGCGCGACAGCUGAGAAUAGGUAGACCUAGCCCUGUUUGUACCGUCCAACAUUUUAAACUUAAUUUAUUAGUGUGUGAAUAAUCUUAUAAUAAAGUAACUUAAUUAGACAGUGAAUAAUGUGGAAGGUUAUAUAUAUAUACAUAUAUAGUGGAUAUAGCAUGGUCCUGAUGAGUAUAAAUAGGUUGGUCCAUGUAUCCUUGGGGUUGAAUGUUCCCAAGCAAAGCAUUCACGUGAAAGGAUUUUGAACCAUAGCCUUACCCUCAUUAUGGGGGAAAGAUUCUCAUCAUCAAUGCAAAAAUGUUCUUUGGCUUUGUAAUCUUUGUCCAUAUUCUACUCUAAUAUCCUUCUUUCAAAUACCCAAUAUACACUGUCGGAUUCCCUCCUUAGUUUUCUGUGGUGUAUUAUAAAGGUGGGAAAACCACCCAUUUCUUUCUCCAAUAGGAGUUCAAGGUGCUACCUGUCAUGAUUAUCAGAUAAAUCUGAGAUCAUGAAAGUAGAAUUUAGAGUGAACAUUUUGUUUUUUUAUUUUGUUAAAACUUUUUUAUUGAACUUUCGGUCUAAUUAGAACUUUAAAUUUUCAAUUUUAUAUUUGACAGUGUUACACAUUUUUAAAGAAAAUAUCGAAUAAGUUGAGAAUACAUAUUAGUAAAGAUAAUAAAAUCUUCAUCUAUGCAACUGUUUUCACUUAGGCUAUAAAUCAAGUGAGAAUGUCAUAAAUGAGAAUUUGAAAUAUAGAUGUUUAAUGGUUGUUAUUAAUUAGUUCAAAUUAUAAGAGUGCGUAACUUAUAAGAACUCAUGAUCUUGGAAAAGGGGUAUUCAUAGAGAUGUUGCAAUUUAAGAAAUAAGCUUAGAAAAGCAAUAUUUUAAGCAAAAAAUAAAUACGAAGGAAACAAAUGCAGUAUAUAAUUAAAACCACAAAAAAAAAAUGAAAUAGAAAACUUGUGUUUUGACUAAAAGAUGUGCAUAAAAUACCAAAUAUGGGUCUUAAAUUUGACUCGCAAGAGAGAUUUUGGUUGGUUAUACGUUAAAAAUAUAUAAAUGAACAUAAGAGAUAGAAAAUCAGUACAUUUUCUUGUUUUCUGGAAGAAUGAAAAAACAGUACAUAUUAAUCAUUGGUUGUAAGAAAAAGGCAGAACGUGAAACUCCAAUAUAUACACACACACACACACACAUACAUGUGUGUGUAUAUAUGUUAAUAGCAAGAAAAUAGGUGAAAUUAGAGAGAGAGAGGGGGGGUCAGGGUGUUGAUGGCCUUACAAAGCCCAAGGGAUAAGGGCCCUUCCCAAAAGUCACACCAAAAUCAUACAUCUUUGCGUGGUGUCAUUGAUUUAGAUUCUCAUUUCUUUAAAAAAAAUUACACAUACCAAACACACACACAUAUAUAAACACAAUUUGGCGUGUUUUGAGAGAAGAGAAUUGCAUGGUUUUCUUAAUUUCGAGAUAGAUUUUGCUAUUUGUUUUUUUCUUUUCUAGGAAGCCUCAAGGUCUUGUGGGUAUAAUAUGCCUUAUAUUUAGAGAGAGAGAGAGAGAGAGCAUUGUAUUAUUGUAUGUUGAAGUUAUAGGGUAAUAUCCUAAAUUUCUAUGUGUUGGGGGGGAGGGAUUAUUGCCAGCUAGAUUAUUCAAUGAUGUGACUACCUCUCUUAAUAAUCAUUAGAUGUCAUGGCCACCCUUUCAAUAUUUCUUCUUUCCAUUAUGCUAAUUCCUAAACUGUUAAGUCAUACUCUAUAUUGUUUUUCUCAGUGUGAGAACACCAACAUUUUAAUAAUACUCAUUUCCAAUGUUUUCUUUUUUCCUUUUACAUUACCCACUAUAAUUUUCAUUAUUUAUCAUACAUUAACAUACAUUUUAAUUUUAUUUACCUUUUCAUAUUUCUAAAUAUACUAUUGGGGAGUUAAAUUGAGAAAUGGAUUUAGGCAUGCAAGAUUGUGGGCACCAAUAAUGUAAAUUAAAAUCUCACACUGAGUUGUGAUAUCUUUGGUUUGCCCUUUCAAAAUCUUUCUCCAUCCAACAAUGUAAUCAUCAUCAACAUACAUCCAUAGCUUCUUGUUUUUGUCGUUUCCCUUCUCCCAUUUAGACUCUCUCUAUCUUUUUUAUAUCACCAAAAUUUAAUUCAUUUUUAGAGAAAUUCUCACAAAUUUAAAAGAAAAAAAAAACAAAUAUAUAUUCAUCUAAAUCUUAUUUAGAAUGUUAGAUAACAAUUUAAAUCACUUGAACCGUAUAUAUAUAUAAUAUAACUCUACUGUUUUAAGCAACAAAACAAAACCAAAGUAUAUCGAAAAUAUUCGUAAGAUAUUAUCAUAAUUCGAAACAUAAAUAUAAGAUCAAGUGACAUUUUCAAAAUACGUCUUUUUAAUCACUCAAAUUAAUUAAAUUCAAUUAUAAUUUUUAUACCAUCAAAAUUGAGUGAGAAGAAUUAAAAACAUGAUUCCGACCGUCAGUUUUGAACAUAAUGUCUCGAAAAACUAAUUUUAGCCCUAAAUCUAGGGCACCGUGGUGUGUGUAUUGACCUAUCUCUAUAAUAUAGUUGUUAGAGGAUUAUAUAUAUAUAUAUAUAUAUAUAUAUAUAUUACCUCAAAUGUGUGUUUAAAUUUGAUAUCAUUUGAUGCAACAAUAUAAUAUAUAUAGUAGAGAUGUAUAGUGUCCCCAUCUUGUAGCACGCCCCCAAUAUCCAAUUCCAAUUAGUACUUAACACAAAUCUAUAUUUUAAUUCGAAACCUUACGGCUUACAAUAUCAAGUAAUUAAAUAUUGACAUGUGAGUUUCUUAAAAGCUCAUUUCCUUAUUGGUCGAUAUCACCCCUAAUUGGAAAAAAAGGGAUAAAAGUGCUUCCUUUUAAGCUUAAGAUGCUACCUACGAUUACGGACACCUUGGGAGAUUUAAUUUUAUGUCUUAUGGGAGAAUUUACAGGGCUAAUAAAUUUCUUUCCAUUGAUGAAUGCUUUUUAAAAUUCAAGAACAUGUCAGAUGACAAAUUAAAAAAAAAAAUCUUUAAACAUUUUAAAAUUUGAGACAAUUGAUAAAACAUUUCGACAUUAUUUUGAAAGUUGAGGAAUCUAUUUGACAACUUUUGAAAGUCGUACAAAGUAAUAAAUAGAAAUUGAAAAGUUUAUGAAAUUAAAGUUGUAACUAAUUUAGUUUGGAAACACAUGAAAUGGUGCUAGCAAGUUUGCAAAUUGCAACCUUAGUCACAAAUGAGCAUGCAUUAUCUAGGCUUUUUAGAUUUUGAUGGGAUCGAUAAACUGUAUCUAAAUUUUGUUAUUUUUACAAAUAAUUUUACAUUAAUUGGAUAUUAAAUAUUUAGUAGGAGAUGAGUAUAUCUCCAAAUUGCAUGCAUGCAUGGAUGUGUUUGAAUUACAUUCUUAAACUUUAAAAGUGUAUAGUAGGGAGGUGUGUAUGUGGGGUGGGUGGGUUGCUGUAGUAGUUAGAAUGGAGGAGUGUUUAAGGCGUGCAAAACCCAAAUCCAUAUAUGGCGGCUAUAGCUAUCACCUUGAACUUUGCUUAAUAAAACGCUGUGUGCCGAUUUGUCGCACACACUAAACCAUACAAACAUAUAGCAUUAACUGUGGGGACGACUUGUCGAAUUGCUAAAAGACAAAACAGAGAGGGCCCUCUCUUCUUCUGUGGGUCCCGCAUAAAGUUUAGCUGUUUCGGACACACGUCGGAUGUGGUCCCCACUUAUGGUGGGUUGUCGGCACAUGCCACAUCCCCUCCCGAUUUGUGGGUCCCUUUUCAUACACUUUUUUUUUUUUUUUUUUUCUUAUAAAAUUUUCACAAACCAAAAUAAAUAACUUUCAUUUUUGGGUGUGCUAUGGGACCCCUUUCCAAAUAAAUAAAUCAAUUUAUAUUAAACAAUUUUUUUUUUUAAAAAAAAAUUGUAUUGGAAGGUAGAUUUGAGAAAAGAAAAGGAUUUUUUGAAUGAAAAGAUUUGGGGUAAAAAGUGAGAGUUUGUGUUUUAAGAUUUAGUGUUUCUUUGGCUUAGACUUUUUAAGAAAAAGAUUGAUAACCAAAAGUAGUUUUUAGUCGUUGACCACUUUUUGAAAGAAAGGAAAAAAGAGGGGAAAACAAUAUUAUUAUAUAUGUUUUUUUUUCCUUAAAAAAAGUUCACUAAAUAUUUCACAUUAUCUAUAUAGGUUAAAAUUAACAUAAUAUGGUUUUUAAGAUAGAUAUUUAAUGUGCAUCAUACAAGCUUUCUUUUAGAUUGAAAAUGAAUCACAAUUAAUUUUAAUUUCAAGUAGAAGUGGUUUGGGGUUGGAGUAAGAAUUUGAGAAGAAGAAAGGGAGUUUAGGGGCAUUUGAGUUUGGUGGGUGCGCAUGCAAGUUCAAAUUUAAAAUAGGUUUGCAAUUCUUUUUUGGGUCAUAAUGGAAGAUGCCACACCCACACCCACACCCCCAUCUCACCUAUUCAUCACUCCAUACACAUUUUUGCAUCAUUCCCCCAAACCUAACCCAAUUUCCCCCAACAAUAAUAUUCUUAAUAUCACUAUUAGUUUUUUUUUUUAUAACAUUUAAUUAAUAUCUCUUUCGAGAAAACAUUGUUGCGUGAGUUUUUGAAUAAUGCAUAACCUUUAUGCUCUUAUACCAUGUUAGAUCGUUAACUUAAAUAAGUUGAUAUGUGAAUCUUACAUUUAGUAUUAUAUCCAUAUAUCUAACCUUGUAUUUUCUCUCAUGUACAUACUAUGAUCCCUCUAUACAUCAUACUCUAUCUCGAUUAAACUUUAAGAAAUGAUCAUUGGUAAAGUGUCUUGUAGCAUAUGUAACCGACAAGAAGUAAGUCAUGAGCCACGCGAAAAACCCAUUUGUUUCUCUUGAAUUCCUUCUCAAUGAUCUCUCUCAGUCAAAGGUCUUUGUAUUUGUAUUCUAUGUCUGUUAUAAAAUCAACCAUCAAAGAUAAACAAUUUUUUCAAAAAAACUAAACAAUAGAUAAUCAAACACAAAAAUUUACAUGGUUCACUAAUAGUGCGCAUGUCAUCUACAUUCACAAUCAGAUGUUCGGUUUCAUAUUACAAUUGACACACUUCUUAGGUCAAAAGGCUUAUUCAAUGCACUCAUCUCCCAAGGUAAAAAACAUCUACAAGGCAACAGUACUCUCAAAGAUUGAUUAUUUAUGGCGUAAAUAUGUUAUAUAUAACAAUAAUUAGGGUAAGAGGGAGAAGAAGGUUGUUUUUAUUUGAAAGGAAGAGUGGUUUUGAUGAUGGUGAAGAGAACCAAAUGAAUUAUUGAUCUAAUCUUUGUUGUGUGCUCUCUCUCUCUCUCUCUCUAUAGUCUUAAAUUAAAAGCUAAGAAUUAAUACGAAAACGAAAUGUGAAGUAUAGUAUCACAUUUUUGACGGCACUCAAUAAUCUUCUUCUAAAAGCUCUUUCUUUUUCUAGUUUUCUUUUUUCUUUUUUCUCUUCCUCAUAUACAUAAUUAAACAUAUUAAUUUCCCAACUUUUUAGAAUCAUUAAACUCAUUGCUUAAUUAAUGAAAAAUCUCCUCACUUUAAUUAAUUAACCCAUCAAUUUUAAUUGUUGCCUUUUACUACUAACCCUUCCUUUUUAACCCUAAAUAUAUCAUGUGUGUGUGUGUGUUUUGACCUAUUGGAUCCUAAUUAAAUAAUGUGAUUGUUUUUAUGUUUCUCCUUUGGUGGAUUUUCUUUACAUAUAUAUAUAAUCAAGAGAGGGGACAUGCAUUUUGAUAAUGUUUUUAGGCACGUCUUGCUUUUCUUCUCUUUUUUUUUUCUUUUUUCUUUUCAAAUUAUUCAUAAAUUUAUAUUAUUUUUGUGACCUUUUUAAUUUACUUUUGUUAGGAAUAGACAAACAUAUGUUGUCCCUCUGAACUUAGGUUCCUUUCAUGGAUUUGUACUGUUCCUUCAUCACCUUGUCUCUCUUCCUCUCUCUCUCUCUCUCUCUCUCUCUUUCUUUCAAAAGGCCAUACACUUAUACUCUAUUUCAUUAUUCAUUCUUCUUUCUUUUGUUCUUUUCCUUUUACUUUAAAUCACACACAUAUAUAUGUACUAAUAAUUAUUUAUGUCUCGUUUCUUAUUUUGGACUCUUGAUUCUCUACUACUACUUGCCUUCUUUAUUUACAUCUUAACAUUUUGUAUCCAUUGCUAGUUUAAGAGUCUACAAUCAAUCCGAACAUGGUUUCAUUGGUAUAUGCAGUGUGUUUAAUAAUCAUGAACUAGGUGUGUUUUGAAAUUGAUUAUAGAAAAAAUCAAUCUAAUACUACUCUUUUAUUUAGGGCAUGUAUCAAAUAAAUAAAUUAGAUCAUGAUUGUAUUAAUUAAAACUAUAAACGAUUAUAUCAAUUUAGAUCGGCAAAUUACAAAUUUUUUUAAAUUCGUCAUGCAUGUCAUGAAUGUCAUCACAUGAGAGAAAAACGAAAAAUGUCAAAUAGAUAUACAACAAAUCCUUUUGAAUAAUUUUGUUGGGUUGAUUUGAGUGAUUCCAAAUGAAAUCAAGUAAAACUAUUUAUAAAUUUAAGUCUAAAUUAAUCCACUAAUAAAAUUCUGUAAAAAUAUAUUCUUAUAUGUAUAGAAAUAACACUUAAAAAGUGUAAAAUCCAAUAUAAAAGACCAAACUUUUAGAAAUUAAAAUAAAAUUUAGGAUAAAUAUCAACUAAUAAUUGUAUAAUUUAAACCAUGAACUCGAAGGUAGUGUUACUAAUAAUUGUAUUAAUUUAAACCUUAAAUUUUAAUAAUAAAGACAUCAAUUUAAACUCGAAAGUUUCAUAUACAUAUGUAUCAAACAAAUCCGUCAACUUUGAUAAGUGUGUCCAAAUAAAACAUAAUAUAGGGUUUAGAUUGACAUAUUUAUAUAGUUUAGAGAAUUUAAAUUGAUGUGUUUUUUAAAGUUAAAAAUUUAAAUUGAUACAAUUGUUAGUUUGAGAUUGAAAUUGAUACAACUCCUAAAGUUCAUAGUUUAAAUUGACGCAAACCCUAAAGUUGAGAGCGGUAUAAAUUGAAAUUUAAUAUUUGAUUUGUUUCUAUUUUAAAUCUUAAUUCAAUUUUAAAUAACACUUUGAUAGAAAAUGUGUUUCCCUCACAUUAUAUAUAUACACACAUAUGGAAAUCUUAAAUUUCAACUUUGUUUUACAACUAGGUGAAAAGUCUCUCUCUCUUAGGGACCAAAAAAAGAGUAGGAAUUAUACAAACUACUUCUAAAAGGCAAAUUUGAUCAUUGUUUUGAGACACAAAAACAUCAAUUAAUCUCUAUUCUAUAACAUUAUAUAUUAUCAAUAAUGUUUGGUGUUUGAACAUCAAUUCUCAUGCAAUUUUAAUAUAUAAACCUAGAUCCAAUUUUCUAGGGCAUUGAUAGAAAAAAGACCGAAUAUAUGUAUAUAUGAUAUUAUCACAUUAAUCAUCACAAAUUUUUCCCCUUCCCACAAGUUGCAACAAUUAAUAAAUUUAAAAUUUUGUAUUCAAAACAAAAAUUAUGGUUAUAUCCAAUAUCAUAACUACACAUCCCACAUUAAAUAAUUACAGUGUAAAUUAGCUGUUGGAUAUUACAAAAACAUGUUUCUGUUGAGAAAUAUAAUUGAGUUUAGUCCAAUUGCCUUUUGAUUAGUGAUUAAUCCAUUUCAAAUUAAUUAAAUUUGGAUUAAUUAAUACUAAUCAAGGAAACUUAAUGGAGUGAUUAGAUUAGUUUACACCCUCCACUUUUGAUCUAAUAUCAAUCAUGUAUAUGAUGGUUUAUGCAUUAUAGAUAUAGAAAGAGAUUAUAUUUUUCUGUUUUUGGAGUUAAUUUUGAAAAAUGAAUCAAAAUAUAAUCAAAUUUUAUAUUUAUUACUCGUAAAUGUACAUAAACUUUUAAUUUAAUAACAUGAAUAGAAGUUUAAUAUUUAUUAAACGUAAAUGUACAUAAACUUCUAAUUUAAUAACAUGAAUAGAAGUUUAAUUAUGUAUAGAAUUUAAAAUUUUAUUAUAUUUGGAUGAUUAUUCUCAAUAAUAGUUUUGUUAUUUACAAUAUUUUUUUCUUAUCAUCAUCUCUUCUAUAUAUAUUUGUUUUCACUUCAUUAUAAUGCUCACAAUGAUUAUAUUCUUUGGUUGCCUCAUCCGCAUGCUCUCUCUAACCCUAAUUCCCAUUAUUCUCUCCACCUAUAAAUUUCCCCUUCUUCUCCCUUCUCACCUUAUAAUUUUCCCUUUUUUCUAUUACAAACUCCAUAUUUCUGAUCAUUUCACACACUUUCGAUUAUGGCCGGUUUCGAAGGGUUCGAAAAGCGAUUAGAACUCCAUUUCUCCGGCGAUGACCCGAUUUUCUUCAACAUGGGGCUCCGCCAGCUUAGCUUUGAUUCCCUACAACAAGUCCUACGUGAAGUCCAAUGCACCGUCGUCUCCGCCGUCGCUAACCAUUACUUUGACGCUUACGUUUUGUCGGAAUCAAGCCUUUUCGUUUACCCAACUAAAAUCAUCAUCAAAACCUGUGGGACUACUCAACUACUCAAAUCCAUCCCUCCAUUAAUCCACCACGCCCUUAAUCUCCACCUAACACUUGUCUCUUGUCGUUACACUCGCGGUAACUUUAUCUUCCCUCUCUCUCAGCCUUUCCCUCACACUUCCUUCCACGAAGAAGUCGUUUACUUAGAAAACUCCCUCCCUAACCACCUCUGUUUCCGUAAGGCCUCCGUUAUGCCUUCCAAUCUUUUGCCUUCACAUGCUUGGCACGUCUUCUCUGCUUGUGAUGAAACUCGUUUGGUUCAUUUUGAUUCCGGGUUUUACACGGUUGAGGUUUGUAUGACCGACCUUGAUCGCAGUUUGGCUAAGAAGUUUUUCCGACGUCCUGGUGAUGGAAAAUCCGCCGAUGCUGCUGGUAAAGAGAUGACCGAGAUUUCUGGUAUUAAUAAGAUUAAUCCCAAUGCUCUUGUUUGUGAUUUUGCUUUUGAUCCUUGUGGUUAUUCCAUGAAUGGAAUCGACGGUGAUCGAUAUUCCACCAUCCAUGUUACUCCGGAGGAUGGGUAUAGUUAUGCCAGUUUUGAAUGUGUUGGUUCCAUUUACGACGGUGAUGAUUUUGUUCGGACGUUGAAGAGAGCCGUCCAGGUAUUUCGACCAGGGAAAGUGUCAGUGUCGACCACUACGGCCACAUCGCAUCGGGUUUGGGCGAGGGUGGCCGGAGCACUGGAGCCACUUGGGUUGAAAUGCCGGAGUUGUACGGUGGACGAAUUUCCGGCAGUGGGGAACGUUGUGUUCCAGACGUUUACGACCCGCCGGAAAAAAACAGGGGAAUGCGGCGGCGGACGGUAGAUAUUAAAAAAGAAAAUCUCUAGUCAGGGAAAGUUAGAAUAUGAUGAUAGGCCACGUGGCAAAAGUGAAAACUAUGAUGUUGAUGUGGAGGAAUUCAAUUGGUUAAUGAGAGUGAUGAAAUGUGGGGUUGACUUGUUUUUUCUUUUCUUUUCAAUUUCUUUUUUCUUCUUUCUCUUUUUCAAAUUUAAAAAAAAUAAAAAAAAAAUCUAAAAAUGAGGAGAGAGAUAUAGGGAUGGUGACGUGGAGUACCAAGAAGUUUGGGGGAUUUGAAAAAACAAAAAACAAAAAACAGAAAAACAGAAAAACAGAAAGAUCAUAAAUAUAAUGAUAAUGCACCCCACUUAGGGUUGUCACGCCUAAGGAUUUUUUGAAGCAUUUUGUGUAGUAGUGGAGAAAAAAAUAUAUAUAUUGAGAUUCAAAGUGCAAACCAAGUACUCCUUCUACUUCAUCAACCCUUAUAUCAACUUUUUUUUUCUCCUCUCUUCAUCCUUUAUGUAAUUUUCCCUAUUUUAAUUUCUAGCUAUCUUUAUUCAAUAGCGAUUACAAUUAAUAAAACUCUUAGCUUCUUCUUUGAGUUCCAAGGUUGAUUCGAGGCAUCCAAAAAGUGUAACAAGUUCAUUUUUGACUUUUUAGUGGAAUGCAUGUAUAUGCCAAAAUCAGUUUAAUUAGCAAUAUUUUGAUAGGGCAAAAGCUAGCUUACAACACUCUCCUUCUGCUUUGUCUAUCAACUAAUUUUUCUCUUCUCAUUUAUCUAAUUUUCUCUUCUAAUGUCUAGUGUAAAUUCAAUUCACAGACACUACAAAAUAACUAAAACUGACUAGAUCUUUUUUUUGAUUUCGAGGAUGAAAAAAUUCAAAGAUUUAAUCUUUUUAAACGUUAAAUUAAGUUGAUUAACAAAACAAGAUCACUCGAGAGAUGUCUGCACGGUGAUCUUAACAAGAUAAGAAAGGGCAGAGACAUAAUUUAAUUAAUUUGUAUUUUUGUUGUGAUGUAAUAUAAAGUUAAAAAGAAAAGUGAUUAUAUGUAUAUAUUAAUCAGGAUAUAGUGUUGUUGUUUAGGAAUGGAUGAUGAGUUUGAAAAUGUUAGGAUGAUGAAGGCUGGCGUGGAAGGCACCCAGAUAAGGCAGCAGCAAAGCAAUAAGACCACAUGAUGAUAAUUUGAAAGAGAGAGAGGGACACUAUAGUAAAUUUAUACAUAUAAUUGGUUUCCCCUUUCACACAUUUUAUCAAACAGAUUCUGCACGUGCCCAUUAUGCCCAUUAUGCCCAUUAUGCCCCUUUCUAAAUGCCUUCUCCACUUCCUCUCUUAUAUGGCCUUCCCACCCAUUCCUAUUACCCAAUACCCCUAAUUAAUUUCCUCCAAAUAUAUCCCUACAUCAACAACAAUAUUCAUUCCUUUACAAUAAUUCUACCGCUCUUUCCACUAUUCUGUGUCCUUUAUUUUUCCCAAACAAGUUGAUAUUCUUCUCUGAAUUUGAAUUAGAAUCCUAUAUGGCAUAUUAGUGGAAGUAAGAAAUCAAAAUUAAUUAAUAAACCUAAACAUACUCCAAACAAAUGGGGUUAAAACAUGCUAUUUAUCUAUUAAAAAAAAUUAGAUUUUGAUUAUCUCAAAUCUCACAUCUUAUUAAUCUAAAUAAAACAUAGUGUUAAUAUUUGGUUUUGGUGAACUUUGUCUUAAUUGUUUUUUCUUUCCAACUACUUCUACGUCGAAUUUGGCAAAAGAAAAAAAAAGAGUCAAACCACUUAUACCCAAACUAGAUAUAGAAAGAGGAAAAUAAUCGAAUGACUUGUGGAAUUUUGAUAUUCGUGGUACGACUAUUUGUAUGUGCAUCAAUGGGUCAGUUUUAGAGGGGGGAAAUCAUUUCCAUGGAUGUAUAAUUUUUUGUUUUGACAUAUUUGUUAGAAGAGAUAGGUUAGUUUUGUCCCCUCACACUCAUAGUGUAGGAGAAAAAGAGAGAAAGGAAAAGGAGGGGUAGGGAGUUGGGAGUUGGGAGAGGAAUCAAAAGCACAAUUUAGAGUGGAGGAUAUUUGGGAAAUGAGAAAUGAGAUUGGCUCAGAGGUUGAAGUUCCAUUUACCUUCCACCUUGUCCUUUUGCUUUUGGACACUCACUCAUAUUUUAUAUUCUUCUAAUAGGAGCAGUCUACCCUUAUAAUAAAUGCAAUCCCCAUAAACCACCAUCCUUUCCUUACCCACUUCCUUACUCAAUCUUUUUAUAUCCAAACACUUCCAAAGCAAACAAACAAAGAAUAGUUGCACUUUCGUUCUCCAACUUUCAAUUUUAAAAUUUCAGGUAGAAAUUGAACCCUAAAUGAUCAAAAUUAUAGCCUUCAAUUUAUAUAAUUGUUACCCAUUUCUACACAUAUGUAAGUUGAGAAAUUUGAUUCUAAGAAAAAAUAUUUCGGCAGACUAUUAUUGCCACAAAUAUAUAGGCCCUUUGUUUGGGCUCAUCAAAUCCCCAAUGGGCCUAAGAAGCCUCAACCACAAUAGCUUUUGGGUCUAACAAUUUCUCAGUAUGAAUGGGCCCUGGCCCGAUAAACAUAAUGCUAAACAACCAUGUAUUUGAGAAAAUAGCGGACAUUAAAAAUAAUUUGAUUUUUAGCCGUAUCUCAUAAAAUACAUUUUUUAUAUAUACUUUUCACUCUAUUUUACUCCUUGAUGGAAUGAAUAUCAUGCUGGUUAGUUACAAUGUAUUUGUUAACUGCAAAAUUAAUAUUACAAUGUAUUUGAUAUCAUUCAAUUUUAUUUUCAAACGAAAUUAAAUAAACGUUUAUUAAAUAAAUAUUUAUUUUAUUUAUUGAUCUCAUAUAACCAAAGUAGAUUCAUGUCUUAAAUUUUAAAAUAAUAUAUUUUACAUAAAGUUAUGCAUUUUAUAUAGUAACAACUUACUUAUGUUUCCUAUAAUUAUGCAUAUACAAUUUUUUUAAUAAAGGGAUUGACCAUAUUAUUAUAUAUAGUUUACACUAUUUAAUUCACAUAAUUAAAUCAUUAAUAAUGUUAUUCCAUGGUAGGUUUUGUUGGAGUGAAUAUUCUAAAUUUUGAAUUUAAAACAAUAUCUUCUACAUAAAAUUAUGCAUUUUAUAUAAUAACAAAUUCAUAUAAUUAGUGUAUCUUUCCAACUUUUAAGCAUUAUUUUAUGAAUUAAAUGUUAGUAUAACGGUAAGAAUAAAAUCAAUUUUCUUUUUUUAUUCUGACUUUUAUUUUGGGUACAAAAGUAUUCGAAUGAACUUGUUUUUAGUUUUGCAAAUUUUUCACUGCAGUUCUAUUUAUUGGUUGCAUUUAUCGUACCCAUGUUUUGGAAUUCCUUGACUUUUAUCGUAUAUCGUUUUUUACAACGGCAAUGCAACGUGUGAAACUUUUUUUUAUGGUAGAUGGAUAGAAUCUUUUCGAUAUAUUGACUACCAUGUGAUUGAUGUAUUUGUCCCAUGUUCAUCUUCAUUUCAAGAAUUCUUAUAGUGCAUUCAAGAUAGAAUUUUUCCAUCCUUACAUAUUUCUGUGUGUUGCAUUACUUUGUAUUGAGAUGGAUGCAAUAGUUCAAAUCUUAUUCGGAUUGGUGAAGACAAGGACGUGUAUUGGCUUAUGUUGAUUAUGUCGAAAUUUUCUAACAAUGAUUUUGUUUUAGUUCUUGAUUCUGCAAUAAAGAGAAUGAUUACCUUCAGAAUUGAACUUCUAAAGGUAUGAGGUGGAGCUUCACACUAUGUUUUUUUUAUUUUAGUUAUUUAGAGGGAAUUUUGUUUAUACCAUUUGUUUUCCAAUUACAGUGUAACGAGUGUUUAUGUUAGUGUACUAAAAUAGUCUAUCAGUGAUACACUUAUGGUUUAUGAUCUACCUGCAAUAAACUUUAAUAAAUUUUGUUAUAUUUGCAACUAUUUGUUUAUAUGAUUCAUAACACUAUUAUUGAACUAUUAUUCAUACAACCUUAUAGAGGAUACUUCAUAUUUUUCAUUAAUAUUCUUUAUUCUAUUAGAUUAAUAAUAGGAUAAAAUAUUCAACCUUAAGAAAAAAAAUUUGUUUCUACUACUCGAACCGAGAUUUUUUAAAAACAUUCUACAUUUUUACUUUUAGACACGUACGGAGCCUAAAGAGUAUAUUUUGAUGGGAGUAUAUGACAUAUUUGUUGACAUUAUUUUUUAAUUAAAGUAGAUAUGAAAGAUUGAAAUGUAUUGAUGAGAAUUGUGCAUAUGGCUUGAUUGGAUGAUGAUAAUAAUAAUACAAAUUUACUGAUCAUAAAGGAUUCAACAAAUCAAAUGGUUGGAAUUAUAGAAUUAGAUUCCCCCAAUAUGGGAAGAGAUGUAGUGGAUUUUGUGAAGUAAAGCUCCACUCAAAUGAUUGUGGUUGAAAAAUAAAACCUUUAAUUCAAAAAGGGGAAGAAAAAAAGAUUUGAGAUUCAGAAUCUUUGUUGAGAUUUUGAUUUUGGAUCAUAUAUUUGGUUUAUCUUUGAGCUAUAAUUUUCCCAUCCAAUAAAUAUUAAUAUAUUUUUCAAAUGGAUAUUUCUCAAUAUUAAUGAUUCAUAAUAAAUAAGUCUGAAGCUAAUCCCACAUCAAGAUUCCUCUCUAGACUGUCUCUUCCAUAAUUGACAUUUCAUUUAAAUUAUUCACUUCUAUUUCAACAACUAACCAAUUUGAUUUGAUAGUGUUAGAAUUUAUACCAACAUUAAUUGAUCAUCACACAAAAUCUUCUUAAAUAAUAGAGGAUAACAACUUUGAUUGUUAAUAAUAUAUAAUCAAUAUGGCCUUUUUCCCCUUAUAACCAUAUUGAUUUUUUUUUCCUAACGUGGAAGGUGUUAGGUGGAUGCUUUCGGAUUAUCUAGCUCGUACUAUUCGUCUUACCGACACAAACAUCAUUCCUAGUAGUUGUGAGGUUAAAAUUCUUGAAGUAAUGACAUUUUGUCACCAUUCACAAAGAGUAGCCCAAGUGAUUCGCUUGGUGGAAACUAAUUGUUUAGAGAUAACCUACAUGUUGAAUAACAUUGUGGGUGAUAUCACUGAAGGUCUUAUCUUUAUUUGAGUUAGUAUUAUGAGGGUAAGUUCAUUCUCUUAUGUUCGUCGGUGUUAUUACGACUUAUGCACUUUUUUGUUUAAAGCUUUAGAGAGAAAUGUCAAUCUUCGUAUUUUUCUUUUAGAAGUUAAAAUGUUGGUAUACUUCAAUUGAAUAAGAAACAUCACAACUUGAGGAAUAUUUGAAUUCAACGAUAUGAGUAUAAUAUGAGCAUUAUUUCAAUUCUGAAGAAAGCAACUUUUUCUUAUUCGAAGGUUAAAAAUGAAAAUUAAGAAUGUGAGGUUUUGUUUAGUGAUAUAUUUUUUUGCUUUAUUAUUUUUUUUUGUUAAAAAUAAAAUUAACAUUUGUAGUCCUUUUUAAAAAAAAAAAAAAAAACAAGGCUAAUAUUUUGGUUUAUACUUGAAAAGAAUAUAUAUAAAUAUAUAUAUAGUAGGUGGGUUAUUGUCCACAAUAGUGUAAGUUUGUUUCUUCCACAAAUUUUACUUGAAGAUGAAUGGGCCAAUAACUAAGGAAGACUCCAAAUUUUCAAACCCUUCAAAAAAAUCCAAAUCUGCCACACAAUUUCAAAGAGAGAGAGAAAAAGAAAAAGAAAAAAAAAACCUCAAUUAUAGACUUUUACUAUUCAAAUGGAAACAAUGACCAAAAUUUGGUCAUAUGAUGCAAUGUCUAUGGGAAGAAAAUUGAAAACACCUUGGAAAUUCCAAGCUUAAAGGUGGCAAAGGAAAGGAAAUGGAAAAGGGAAAAAAAAAGUCAUUUUUGACCUAAGUUUGUGAGUUGUCCAUCGACUUUCAAAUUUUAUCCAAUAUUUGGACCCUAAACUUAAACUAUUGUUGCUAAAAACAACCUAAAAAUAUUAUUAAACUCAUUACUUUUCAUUAUUCAUCAUAUUAGUUAUUUUCUUGCUUGCAACUCAAAUUGCAUCUUUUUACGUUCUUUCUUGUACGUUUGAUGAUACAUCUUCUUUCUCUACCGUAUCAAAACACUUUCUCUAGACUCCUAGUGAGCAAUCAAUCUUUCAUCUAUAUUUCACUUCGAAACAACUAGUGUGAGUAUGAGCGUGUGUAGAUCUAUUCUAAUGAUGUUCAUUUUUACUUGAAAUGUGAUCGAAGUCUAACAUCAACUAGAUAAGAGAAUGAUCAUACAUAUACAAUUAAUAAUGAUUAUCUAAAAGUGAUAAAAAAAAUCGAAAGUUAGGUUGUUUUUUACACCCUUUCUAUUGUGUGAUUCUAUCUUUUACUUGUGUGUCAUUUGCACUAUAUCCUCUUAUAAUACACAAGUAAAGAUCUUAAACUAGUCUAUGUCAAUUCAAACAAACCUCAAAUACUCUAACCUCUAUCUCUUCACAUGUGGUUGGGAGAAGGAAAAAUAAAUUAGUUUUCACAGCUCACGGGCAGCUCUGUUGAAAAAUUUGAAGUAGAGUUAUUUUCCAUUACCAGAAAAAAGAAAUGGUGAGUUUCAAGAUUUUCAAUGUGUGAACAAAUUUUUCUUACUGUUUUUGGGUCAUCUCAAUGUCCAAUCUUGUACCUUUCCUAUGCCCUCUUCUUCUUCUCCUUCUUCUUCUUCUUCUCUUUCUCUGUUUCUCACCGAAAGCCUAACACUGUUUUCGUUAACAUCUAAACCCCACAUUCCUAUCGGCUGCAAAAUUUGUUCUUAGGGUUAAUUUUUCUCGAUUACUUCGCCUUUUCUACCUCCUCGAGCCGUGAUCUUUCUUCAAAAGCAAUUACCCAUUUCCCCUGUUCUGUUGUUUUUGUUCUAAACUUACUGUUGUGAUACACACACACAUAUAUAGUGCUUUCUUUUGCGUCAGGAAGGAUUUCACUCAAAGGAAAAGCAAUCUUUCAUUUGCACAAUCGUUUUCUAAGUGGGGAAAAGGCCUUUUCUCUUUGUUUUCUUACAUAGGUUUUGCUGUUCCUUCUGUCUUAGCCUCUGUUCUUUUGCAUCUUUCUCAACUUUUUUACUCUUCUGAAUAAUAUGGGGUUUUCCUCUCGGAAAGUUGAUGGGGUUUGGUUAGAUUGUGUCAGAAACAUCUGGGUUUUGCUACAAGAGUUGAGUAUUUUAUAGUUCAAUUUCAAUUUGUACUAUUACUUCUUUGAGGACUUUCAUCAAACACCUUGCGGGUAACUUCGAACUUCAAUUUUUUUUUUUUUUUUUGCUUCUUCCAUUUGAGAAAUUAUGGGUUGUAUCCAUACAAAAUGUUGCUGUCGCUACCCAAAAUCGUUGGUUGGAGAAUCUCAAGACUUUCGACAAGGGGUUCCUUACUGUCUUCAAGAUAAGAACACUGUGAUAGAGAAAUCAUUGGAGAUGAUUCCUGUUGCUUCCCACAACUAUCAUUUGGAAUAUUUGGUUCUAGCUCAGCGUGGUUACUACCCUGAAUCUCCUGAUAAAGAAAAUCAAGACAGUUUCUGCAUUAGAACAAACAUUCAAGGUAACCCAAAUGCUCAUUUCUUUGGUGUUUUUGAUGGACAUGGUCAAUUUGGAAUGCAGUGUUCAAACUUUGUGAAAGAUAGACUAAUAGAAAAGCUAUGUAAUGAUCCCACAUUGUUAGAUGAUCCUAUACAAGCUUAUAAUUCAGCAUUUUUGUCUACAAAUGAUGAGUUACAUACAAGUGAGAUUGAUGAUUCCAUGAGUGGAACAACUGCAAUUACAGUUCUUGUUGUUGGGGAUACUCUGUAUGUAGCUAAUGUUGGUGAUUCAAGAGCUGUAAUUGCAGUCAAAGAAGGGAAUUGUGUUCUGGCUAAGGACUUGUCAAAUGAUCAAACACCAUUUAGAAAAGAUGAGUAUGAGAGAGUUAAGCUUUGUGGGGCUAGAGUUUUGAGUGUUGAUCAAGUGGAAGGACUUGUGGAUCCUGAUAUUCAGUGCUGGGGAGACGAAGAAAGUCAAGGCGGCGAUCCACCUCGGCUGUGGGUUCAAAAUGGAUUGUAUCCUGGGACUGCAUUUACUAGGAGUAUUGGUGAUAGUACUGCUGAGAAAAUCGGUGUAAAUGCUGUUCCUGAGGUCUUAGUUCUUCAGCUUAAUCCCAAUCAUCUUUUCUUUGUGGUUGCUAGUGAUGGAGUUUUCGAGUUCCUUUCAAGUCAAACUGUUGUUGAUAUGGUAUGUAAUGUUAUCAAUUUCUAGCUAUAUUUUUCUUUGAUAUUUUCUUCUUGGUCAUGAAUCUUGAUAUCCAGGUUGCCAUGUUGAAGAUUGGUAGAUACAAACCCGUUAGAUAGCUAUUUGGUUUGCUGUUUUUGAAAGACUCUUUUGAUUUCCUCAAAAUCUUUUGGUAACAUUUUCACAAAAGAUGCACCAAAGCCAUCUUUUGGAGAAUGUUAGGAUUUAUUCUCUAUUUUAGAGCUAUUUGCACGAUUUUAUCAAAUUAUAGAGACUAUUUAGAAACGUUUUAUCAAAUCACUAAGACUGAUAUUUAAUUUUUAAAAUUAUAGGAACCAAAUUUGUAAUUUAACCUCUUUUCUUUUUGUUGAAUUUUUGGUUUGGUUUUCUAAAAUGUUUUUAAAAAGUAGGUAAUAAAGUAAAAAAAAAAAUAUAAGUGAAAGUAGGGUUUAUAGAAACAAAAUGAUUAAUAGACAAGCAUACUUUUUAUCUGUUUACUUGUUGCUUCUUACUUUUGAACUGCUGAACUCAAUAGAAACGACUUCUAUUAGCCAAUUUGUGAGCAUAUACGUAAGUUGCGUUAAUAUGUUUUAACCAUAACUACAGAUCUUAACACAAUUUCUAAUGUUUUUUUCCCCUCUAUACAGGCAUCAAGUUAUGCAGAUCCUCAAGAUGCUUGCACUGCCAUUGCUGCCGAGUCGUAUAAACUAUGGAUGGAACAUGAAAAUCGAACCGAUGAUAUAACGAUCAUUGUUGUUCAAAUCAAAGGCUUGUCUAAUGUAUGAAAUUUACAAGAAUUAUUUCGGCUACAUAUUUCUUGCUCUUGAAUGUGAUGAUGAUAUAAUCUUCAACAGCAAAAUGCAGGAUGAUGUUGAACAAAGAAAAGAAAAGAAAAAACAUUUUGUUAUUACAUCUCUGUUAUCCCCUUGAUAUAAACCUACAUUUUGAACAGAAAAUUUAUGAUUCAAUGCUUAGCUUUCUCAUCUCUUAUCAAUUCGUUAGCUUGUAAGCUUGUUCCUCCCUUGUUUGCGUUGUUGGUUUAGUCAGGUGCUGAUAAUAAUCCUUCCAGCAACGGGCUGGAGACUGCUUCUUUGAGAAUUGAUUUCUCAGAUCUACCCACUGAACCGAACACUCAACCUGUUGCUGUGACAAAUCGAAACCCAGCGAUCGUGGUUCCAAUGCUGAAUAAUCAGACAUCUUUAUAACGGUAGUCUCUCUACUAUAAUAACAUAUUACCGCUAAACUUGUUGUUCGAAAUGAUUUAAGUACAUAAGCACUUAGAAAGAAAGUUAAUCUAAACAGAGACCAUUGUUCAUAGUUGUUAAAUGGUUUUAGCUUGUGUAUUCAGACUUCAGUGUUGCUAUAACAUUCCUCCACCAGCAGAAGAGACUUGUAAUGGAUCCUGAAAGGUAAAACUGACUAAAAAGCAUUUUAUAAUCUUAAUUUUUGCUUAGAAGAAUUACCUUUUAGUUUCUGACGUCACUUUGUUUAUACUUUUACAGUUGAAACAAAUACUGAUCUUCCAGCUUAGCAUUGGACCAACUAAGUUGAUAAAGACAGGGAGGUUUGGUGUCUUUGACAUGGAAAAAUGGAUGGAUUGUUCUCUUGUAAAUCCAUGAUAGAGAUUGAGAGAAAAAUCUACAGUUCCCAUUAAAAAGACAAGACAAAGAAAGGGAAUUUAAUGAGGUGGAUUAACUUCAAAGCUCAAUGAUAAACAAGUUUCAGACCCCACUUUGUUACCUUGUCUCUUCAUUUCUGGCUGGCAUGCUAAGGUAGAAUAUGUUGUAAAUAGCAAAAAAAAAAAGAAAAAAAAUUAUAUAUCCUUUUUCUUCUUCUGUUUGCUUAAGAUAGAUCCCACUUCUUGAAAAGUGUCAUGUCAAUGGUUUAGCUUGUUGUGAAGUUAACUUGUGGAUGACUGUCACAAAUUGUUGCUCAGAUGGACCCUCAAUUUUUUCUAUAAUUUCAAAUUUCAAUGUUUUGUGAUUCAAAUUCUCUCAUCCAAAUCACCAACGGUUACUCUCACGUGAUCAUAGUUUAGUAGAAAUUAACACAAAUAUAUUUUUGUUAAAAUUUUAAGAUAGUAAGGUUUGACAAACUAUUGAGAUUUUCGUGCGACCUGUUUGAUUUUUUUUUAUAGUAAUUCCACCCAUCCUAACUUUAACAAAAGGUCAAAACACAAAAAAUCUUGGAUCAUAUCUCGUUUGAGUCUUUGAGAAUAGGUUAGUUGCACACGCUCGAGCAUUUUUUAGUGUAGAAUAAGAAUUUAUUGAAAACAGGCUUAGUUAAACGGUAAUUGACAAAACUUUUAGUUGAUGGAAGGUUCAAUCUGAAAUAAUCUCUACAUAAUGGCAAAGACUUGGAAGAACAGUCAACCUUAUAGAUGUUACAAAAUACAUCUAAACAAGAUAAAACAAAAUCUUAGAUAUUAUUUGUUACAUUAUGCACCUUUGCAGAAUAAUCUUCACUUGCGUUGGCCAGAUUUCCUUCUCUCACUGCAAGACUUCAAAGCUUGAACCUCUACUAGACAAACCAUUAGCAGCGAGGAAAUGGAUUAGGACAGUCAUUUUAUAUGAAAAAUUAAAAAAUUGCACAAUAUAGACAUUAACAUUUCAAAUUGGUAAGAAACAGAAAGAGAUCUUGGCAACCACAAAUAAUUCAAAGAUGAACCUAUGAACAAAAUUAGAAUUCAGAACAAGAAGAAAUGAUCGAAUUGGUGAAAACGAUGGUCAGUGAGAGAUGAACAGUAUACCAGCCUGGCAAGAUUUCCAGUUCCUGUUAGUUUUGAUAAGACAAUCCUGAAAAUUAUAGGGAUGAAGUUAAUAAACAUCAAUUUACAUUUUAGGGCUUAGGGUUUUAGCAGAACGUAAAAAGGUAGAAGACGACGAACAGAACCGCCAAAAAGAAGAACCUGUAAGGAUAAGUAGAAGGAUGAGCAUUCAUUGAGCUGCUUGACGUUCUCGUCUUCAUCGUCAGCAUCACUCCGGUGAAGAGGCGGCUGAUUCUCCGGCGAAAUCGGCGGUUUCCCCAUUUUUUUUCCUUCAGGUUCGACACAAAUUUUAUACGAAAUUCAAACUUCUUAGCGUAAUAAGUUUGAACUGCUCAAAGUUCGCGAUUUAUUAUAGAAUUUCUUCUCUUCUUUUUCAUAUAGAUUAGGGUUUGUAUAUUUGUGCUUAAUUUAGUGUUGCAAUUGCUAACGGAUUUUGAUUUUGAUUCUUCCUUAUUAAUAUAGUUUUUUAAAAAGAGGAAAGGUGGUGUGAAAAAAAGUACUAUCUUUUUCCUUUUUUUUUUUUAUGCAAUUUUUAAAUCUACAUAUUUUCAUUACAAAAGAGAAAUUGUCGAUCACUUUUUAAUAUAGUGUUUGGUGUCCUUUUAAAUAAAAUUUAUGGAUCUCCACUUAUUCAAAAGGAUUGAAUUUUUGCACAAAUAUAAUUAUUAUAGAUCUUAGGAGAAAAAAAAGUUAAAUGAUAGAAAAGGCUGGUAAUUAUUCCAAAAAAGACUAUUAAUUCUGCAACAAAACCGCUCAUACCGGGCAAUGCAAGGGAAGCCAUCGAUAAGAUACUGAAAGUCGUAAAUAUUUUUGGAAUUGGGAUAGCCAGUCCUCCCAUUUCAUCAAGAUAAACCAGACGUAUUCUAUCAUAACUUGUUCCCGCUAAGAAAAAAAGCGCAGCGCCAAUAAAUCCAUGAGAGAUUAUUUGUAAAAUAGCUCCAUUCAGUCCCGUAUCGCUUAUAGAACCAAUUCCUAUAAUUAUGA